Non-coding RNA from Xyrichtys novacula (pearly razorfish), 76575 nucleotides. NCBI's taxonomy places the organism in Eukaryota, Metazoa, Chordata, Actinopteri, Labriformes, Labridae. The record is from the annotation of a GenBank genome assembly.
AUUCAGCCAACCGGUCGGGCGCCUGUGAUUAUUACGAGGAAUAAACGGUUUGCUGAUCCAAGCACUUCAGAAGAUUGAACAGGAAAAUCAUGCUCCAAGGUAAGUAUCGCCAAACGACGUGUUUGUUCAGUGUUUAUAAAGAUGUUUGAUUGCUUGGCUUGAUGCUGACAGUUUAAAAGGACUUUGGUCAUCAGGUAGCUCGGUAAAUUACGCGAACAGGUGAAAGGACACAGCAAUGCGUUGGCUAACUGUUGAGCCACUUCGAAACUACAUUUACAGGUUGAUUUAAUUUGAUUAACGUGCAUGUAAUUGUUGGAGGUGCAGUAGAAGUGGGUUGAUGUACUGGAGUGCAUUUCUGAUCAUGUCAUGAAAAAUUAAACACUCAGAAGCUUCCUAAAAGUAAAAGUUGAGGAAGAGCGUUUGUAUUGGGUUGGAUUAGAUUGCCCAGGUGUUCAUAACUUUAUGGUUGGUUGGUGUGUUUGCUGAAAGAUGUGUUCUGAAAGAGCUUAUUAUGGUAAUUGUUUUUUUUUUUUUUGAUCAGGUAGCUUUGCUUGAGCCUGAACAAUGCAAAAAUGUGUUCAAAUGUUUUUUUUUUUUUUUUCCGAAAAACGGGCAGCAAUAAUUAAUUUCACUUUGGUAAAACCUGUCUUUCUCUUUCUCUCUUUUUAGGCUGACCAAACCAGUCAUCUUUAUGAGUUAAGUAAUUUCUUUAGUUGAGAUUAGUCAAGAUUUCUAGUUCCACUAUCAGCAACUACAUAUCUUGCAUCAGAAACUCGAACAGCUUAAUUUCCAAAGUUGUGUUCAACCAAAAGUAAAGCAAAACUUAAAAUUGUGUGACUUCCAAAGAUUAUGUUUGUUUAGGAAAAUCACAACCUAAGCACUUUCCCCUCUGCUAUUAUGUUUAAACACCAAAUGCUAUAAUUUUGGGGAUCAGGACAUUACCUGAGCAUUUAUACAGCUUGCUUGAAUUUACUGUCCUCUCAGGGGAUUGUGAAAAGACGAACUUUUCCAGUAUCUUGAGGCUGUUUCCAUGUAGCUAGUAAGUCACAUCAGCUGCUUUGUGGUUUAUUCCAGCAGGUGUUAACAGAUUACGCUGUGAUUUUAUAUCAACCACCAGGUUAAAAAGAAGCCCAACUACUUGUUUGGUAUUAGCCAAAAGAUAGGUUAAAAAAAUAAAGAGUUUGCAGAUAGCAGAGUGUUUUCCACUCUUUCCAGGAGAGUGUCUUGCUUGUAAUUUUCAGUUUGAGUCAAUAGUUGAAAAGUGUUUAUGUUUUAAAAGGAUGGUGUGGUUUUUUGUAAGGCUGGUGGUAUAAGGUAUUUGUCAUGAGUAAGGGGAUCUUGAUUGCUGUGCUGCUCACUACUGUUUUAGUGUGGUUGUAUUUUUUGUCUCCAGUCAUUGUUCUGCAUGGGGAGGUACAUGUCUGUGUUGCAUCCACAAAUAGUGCAAAAACAAAGUGGCUUUCUGAUAUCUGAGUGCAGUGGUGAACUGAAAUCAAUGUUUGGGUUGGACUUUAUGAAUACAUUUGACCCUGUCUGCAGCAGUUCAUAGCCUACCUCCCAUCUCAGUUCUCAGCAUCCCCUGUGGGUAAUACACUUACAAUUCAUAAAAACUUCAAAGAACCCUAAUUUCAAAAAAAGAUCUUUGGAAAAAACUUUUUUUUUUGAAAAGAUCAAUUUACAUUUUAGCUAGUAGCACAUACUAUCUUCUCUCCCCUACAUCUCCUCUCAAUAGUUGGGUGGCCACUGGCCUCUGAGUGCUCAUUCAGCCUUUGGCCUGGCUCUGUGUUGCAAACUAGUUGACUGAGGAUACUACACCUUGUUUGUCUGGUUUGAUUAAAACUGCCAAGUUAGUGCAUUUAAUUUGAGCUGGUGUGAAAGCCAUACACCAAGGUAUCAUUCCCAGUUAAAUAACUACUUUCAAUCCAUGGAUUUAGUUACACACACUUCAGAAACACAAGGCAUUGCUUGGUGCUACAAUUCCUGGUGCUACUCAUUGGCAUCCCCCUUAUUCCACCUCUUUUACCACUGAUGGUGGGGGAUCAGACGUGGAACAACUUUGUCUCACUUACUAAGCAACAACGUCAGAGCUUGUGUCUCUUCGGUUCACAAACCAAUUCAACAUUCAUACUCUACAUUCAUACUCUCCGUCUGUUUUUUUAACUCUUAUCCGCAACUAACUAGGGUAUACUUCAAAAUACAAGCUUCAUUUUGAUAUGAGGGAAGAAGCUACCUAAACACAAGAUGAGAAAAAAACAAAACAAAAAUGUGACAAACGGUUGUUUUUAAGUUAAUGUCUUCUCCAUAGAACAGUCAAAGGGUUGGUUUUAUUGCUAAAUCACAAACUUGGACAUCAUUUGAAAUGGAUUACGAAAUGAAAGUCUCUUGUGUUCAUUGGUGAAGUUUGUGAAGUAAUGUGUAGUCCCACCCCUGUUUUGCCUUACCUCAAUUUAAUGAAUGUGUUGGUUUUUGGAGGGGUGGCUGUGGCUCAGUGGUAGUCAGUCGUUUCUAAAUCAGAAGGUCAGAGGAACCAUCCCAGGGCUGUCCACAUGCCAAAGUGCCCUUGGUCAGGACACUUGACCCCAUUCACCCUCACUGGCUGUGCCCAGUGGUGUGUGAAUAAAUUAGUCAAAAACUAAUGGACUCUAUCCAUAGCAGCCUCUGCUAUCAGUGUGUGCAUGAGUGAAUGUGACAUGUGAUUAGUGCUUAGGGUCGUCAGAAUACUGGAGAAAGUGCUUUGUAAACAUGGUCCAUGUGUCUUCCAGUUUCCCAAAAGUAUUUUGAUAAUAUUGUCAAUGUGAGAUUGAAUGGCCAUGAUAAAAUAGAGUGAUAAUGUGAUGUUGUUGGAGCAUACGCAUUUUGUCCCUCUCCUCAACAAAGCAGUCGUUUUUGGAUGUUUGGGUUUAUUGUCAUCUUCUGUUAUUUUAAUGCAGCUGUUUGUACACAGUGUAAUUUUUAAUGCUAUCGUGUUGUAGUGUAAGUUUCCUCUUUGUGUGAUUUUGCUGCAUUGGCAGAUCACGGAUGAUGGUGGAUAAAAGCUGAACAAAUUUAUCAUUUUUUAAGAAGAAAACACAAAAAAGGAGACAGUAAAUUGGGAUUAACAUUAUGGUAAAAGUAUUAACUAUUUUCCCCAAACAUUCAUAUUCGGAUAAUUCAAAAUAUUUGUUUUGCUGCUUAAACUAGCAGUAAAUAUCAGUCAUUCUUAAUGAUCUAUUAUGUGUUUUAUUGUUAAUUUGAAAUCAAGGUUACUUUGACAAACCAAAGAGCUUGUGGAAGUAGUGUGAUUUAAAAUGUGACCCUGACUUAUGUAUUUGAUGUAUUUUAUCUCAGGUCAAACUUGAAAGGUUGCAUGCUCGUAUUCCCUGUCCGUGUUAUUCAUUAACGGCCAGAAAUCCUGACCGAUUAGAGAGUAUUGGUAACAAGCUUCAUAUGUUGUGGUCUAAAUGUGAAAGUCUUUGUGUGAACACAGACCAAAAUUGAGGCAAUUUUGAAGGAAUGUAACAAACUGCCUGACAGAACAGACCAGAGAAAAUGAACAGUAUAAAGAUAGAUGUGACAUGACAAUGUUGCAUCAAGCCUGAUCCUUCCUCCUUAGCCAAAGCCAGAAACUCCCCUGUUCUGCCUCCUCACCCAGAUCUUUGAGGGCCUUUCUUAAUUUAUGACCUGAAACCCACAUACUCCUCAUGAAGUGGGGUAGAUUUUCCCACAAAAAGCAUUUUUUACCAGUCAGCUAAAUUUUCCUGGUAUGCCGUUCAUCUGAACUGUGUGUCUGAAGGACAGCAGUCUUCAAUUCCCAAAUGUGAAUGAAAUAAGUGAUGGUAAUAUACUUCUCCAUAGUGAGACCUGUCCAUGCAUCUGUGAUGACAACCACUUUGCAAAACAGUCCUCAAUUCUGCUGCACUUUCCUCAAACAUGCUUCAACUCUUGAUGAUGUUGUCCAAAGUGAUGGUGGCUUGUACUUCAGCUCACAGGAGCCUUCCCCUUUCACCAAACCUAAUGGGAGCAUGUCUCCAGUCACUAUUUUUGUUACUAGCAGGCUAAUCUUCUCCUUCACCAGCUUUAAGUGCAUGUAGUUGAGCAUCAAACUAGUAUUUCUAUGAUAUAUAGGUUUAACACCGCACAUCUUGCACAGUGUUUUAUUUAGGGGUGGGAGAAAAAAUUGAUACAGCAUAGUAUUGCGAUAUUUUGUCUGGUGAUAUAUCAUAUCAUCUCAUGUACCAAGGAUUGAUAUUUUUCAAAUUAAUUGCUAAUUUGAAGUCAAAUCUAUAUUAAUGGAAAAAUAAAAUCAACUGUUUGUCCAGUGAGGUUGGCAGAGGUGACAUCAUAGAACAGGAGAAAGUUAGUGCAACAAAUAUAGCAGCACCUGGGGAAAGACAUUAGGGAUACAAGUAAAUGACUAAGGUUUGCAAGAUGUGCUACAUGAAAAUAAAAUACUGUGUGAAUCAGACAAUAGUAAAGGAAAGACAAAAGCUAAACCACUGAUUGUAUAAAUAAAUAAAUAAAUAAAUAGUAUAAAUAUAUGGUAUCGCAAUACUCACUGUAUUGCAAAAUGUUAAAAAUUGCAAUAAUAUCGUAUCGUGGCCCAAGUAUCGCGAUAAUAUCGUAUAGUGGGGCCACUGGUGAUUCCCACCCCUAGUGUUAUCAUUGUCCUCAAUGUAAAAAUACUUCCACAUAUCACUAUUUCUGGACAUGGCUGACAUGGUGCAUGUAUAAAGCUUACUGAGUUGUGGUACUCUAACCUAGAAUAACACACAUGCAGGAGUGUUGUAACAAUACUUGAGUAGUAAUGAUAACAAGUACUCAACUACUCGGGUAUCCAUCCCCAUCCCUUCCUGAAGCUGAUCUUAUCUUAAUACUUUUACUCACUGCAACCUUGAAAUUGAUCUGAAAACUUAGUAGCCCAUGAAAACCUAUUAAGACUUUUUUUUUGUUGUUUGACUUUGUUGCUGUCUUGAAGUUCACGACUUGUGCUGCUAAGUUCCUUCACUUGUGUCUUGUAGAUCUUGUCAGCAAUGUAGCUUUUGAAAGUCUGUUUUGCCUUUUGCUCAGGAGACAUCUUGAGGCUGAGACACUUAGAUCUUAGAAUAGAUAUUUCUUCUGUCUGACUGCUACUAUUAUUAUCAUUAUUAACCUGAUUCGCCAGGUAGACUGUUUCACAUAGAUAGAUUGAGCAUGGAAAGGUUUAAUAUCCUUUGGGCCAACACCCCACAGACAGUGUGUGGGAGGGACAGAACCUUUCAAAAGAAAAGUUUGAGGCUGAUUGAUUGAUUGAAUUUUCUAUCACAGUAAAUAGGGUCCAAUCAAAGCAACAAUACAUAUGAUGUAGUAUGUGUUCACUGCCAGGAAGUGAACUACAUAACCUGCACUCAACAGGCACUAUGUAAGCUGAUAGGUUCAACCAUAGACUGUGUAUAGAAUGGACAAUGUCUGCCUCCUCGCUGGGUGAAGCCAACUUGAGAACAGCACCCUCUGGUGACGGGCUGCAGUAUAGGUCAUAAAUCCUGCCUUCUCAUCAAUCCCUAUGGCGCUGUGGACAAAUUUUAUGAUUUAAUUACACAGAAUAUAAUUUUUUCUCCCCCCCUGGUUGCGAUGUUGACAUGUAGUUACUGUAAGACUGGUUUGUGCUCAAGUCCUCUUUUUUUCUGUACAGCUCCAUUUUUAAAAGUUAUUAGGGAGUUCAUAUUUUCUAUGAUUGACACUUGAUACAGCCUAAAGACGUACGAAGAUUGCAUAUCUCACCCCGGGGAUACACUGUUUGAGCCGAGCGUCAUCACAGCGACUCUCCCACCGAAUGCAUACAAUGCUACUUCGCAAGUGGUGGAGUGCAUACAACGCUAUAAUAUACCAAUAAAUAAAUACCAAUAGCUUUUCGGCCACAAAUCCGCAUACUGGCAGGAGGCACAACCAAAUUGUCCAUACAGUCUAUGGUUUCAACUAAAUUUCAGACCAAAGACCUUGAAUUACUCUGAAUUAUGCAACUUUAUUUUUACUACACAUCCUUUUGCAUGAGCUCGUCAACAGCAAGUCCUCUAAAGUUUUCACAACACACCUCUGAUAUAUUUUCUCAGCUCUGAUAAAACUGUGGCUAUGACUGCAUCCAUGCCACUAUCUCCACAGGCCACAUUACAGCCCGAUAUGUAAAAACCACCUGAAUUGAGUAAAAAAGAAAAAGUAAUAACACCCAAAUGUAAUAACUGACCAAAAAUGUUACGAAUUCUUACAUUUUGGGUAAGAAGUUAUUACGUUUGGGGCUCAGCAUUAUGUGACAUUUUGGGUCACUUAUUACAUUUCAGAUUUUAUUAACUUUUAUUUUAUUACACUCCAGGUUGCUGUAGAUCAUUGUUACACAUCGGGCUCUAACAAGCUUGCAGCCACUUCUUGCAACAACAGCUAAAUUCACCUGUAGCUAUCGCCUCUGUCUCUUCAAAUGACACUGAUUGGUUCGGUCCUUUGAAUCUUUGAAAGAUGAGUUUACCUGGUGACGGAUAUGGAAUCUGCACAACCCUCAGCUUUGCAAGGCUGUGAGAUGUCACAUCAAAUCAUGGGCGUAGCGGACGCCCAGUAUCCGCCCCUUCUGCACUGUUCUGGCCUGUAAUCUUGCUCCUGAACAAUCAGUCCCCCUAACUUUUGAAAUGAAGGCUACACCCCUACCUCAAAUGUCUCCAUUUUAAAGCAGGCUUGUUUUUUUUCUGUAAAUGCUCUAGCAAUGGUGGUGUUAAAAUCUCUGUUACAGUGAAGAAACCUCGUGCUAAACGGUUUAAGCUUGGCAUUUAGAACUGCAUACCUCUGAUUAACAGGGUUAUUUAACCAUUUGUUUUAAUUUCAUCUGUAGGCUCAAUCAUUUAUCUUUCUGGUCAUAUAUGGCUUUACCAUCAUAUUUGGUCACAAAUGCAACUAUCAGUAUUGUUUAAUUUAGAAAUAAAAAAUGAAAUUAGCCCUAAUGGUUAUUAUUGAACCUUAAUUGCAGACUUUUAUUCUGCUGACAGGAUAUGUAUUCACAUUCAGGACAAUGGUAGUUUUACACACAAAUUAAAUAGUUAUUGGUAGGAUAUAGAAAACACAUGCGCUCCAACAAAAUCUUUAAGAAUAUCACAUAUAAAAGUCCAGAUUUACCUUCCUUAGUUCUUUUUCUUUUUCAAUAUUCAAGAUUGGUUUGUUUGCCGUAUGCAGGUUAAACAUCGUCAACAAUGCAAUGAAAUGCCCUGGAUGAGAAGAACCGCUUGACCCAAGAAGGUAAAAAUAACACGCAGUAAACUACUAAGAAGAAUACAAUAGAAUAAAAAUACACAAAUAUUUAUAUGCAUGCUUAAUUAGAUACUCAGGGGUAAGGUGUAAAAUCAAAGUAAGGCAGUAUAUUUUAUGAAUAACUCUUAUCUACGAGUUCUAUGAUCCUCACAGCAAAGCUGUUUCUCUGCUGUCUCACCUGUAAGACUAAAACACAUUUCUUAUAUAAUACUUCAACUCAGACUGAAGCUCAGAUGGUACUGAAUAGAUGUUAUAGAGCACUGUUUUGAGUAUUUAGAUCUAAUUUUGUAAACCAAAAAAUAACAUAUCAAUCAUAAACAACAUUUCAGUUUUUCUGUCCAUGACAAUAGUCUUUAUGAGGGAUUGAGUCAUGCAUUGUCUGUUCAGUACACCUCACUACAGCUGCUCUUUGCUGCUCUGGUAGCACUCUAAAUUUUGUACACUAGAUGUCAGUAGGCUCUCACAUUUAAGAUUGAGUUUUCUGGCACUAAUGUUGUUUCAUAUCUUUAACUUGAGUCAAAAAAUAUGAUCAUAGGUAAGCAAAAGAAUGACCCCUUAUCUUGUCUUGCAUUUAAAUUUCUCUGUGGUGCAAUGAUACAAAAGUUUGAACUGAAUAAGUCUAGUUUUCGCUGCACACACCUGGAUCUGUGAUAAAAGACCUGGAUUACCCUUUAAAUUAGGAAAAAUCAGGUGAAAGUUUUUAAAGUAAUGUAUGGUAAAUAUAGGCCAUUAUCAAACUUGUUUUGUUUUUAAAUUCAGCACAAGGUGAAGCUGAUUGUUGCUUGUUACCAGGGAAUUUAUGUCCUUUAUUCUUUCUACAAGCUACCAAAAGAGGGUGACAUUACGUUAAAAAUAAGGACAAACACGGGCUCCUCAAAUAAAACCUCCACCUAUUCUGCAGUCUGAUUUUGUGGCUCUGUUUUCUCCAUGUCCCUCUCUUCAAACCAUUUAAUUUGCAGAAUAAAUCUGUCUGCAGAUUUUAGUUCAUCCAUUAUUUUUAUUAUUUAAAAAAAAAAAAAUUGCUAAAUAAAUCAGACCGCUGCCAUCUACUUAUCAUUUACUAAAAAACUCACUUGUUUGUGUUCUUGUCAAUGCAUUGCCUCCUUACUUAGUGUGAAGUUCUGGAUUGCAAAGCUGGCACAAGGAGUCAUGUGAGACUGCAGUCAGAAGAUGGCAAUGGUGUCAGGUUAUUUUUUGGCUGUCAGUGUUGGGUGGGCUGGACAAGCAGCAGCUCCGUGGUGAGCAGGGCUCCUUUCUGCCUGCUGGAGAUCUUGUACUGGCUGCUUGAGUCAGCCCUGAGCCGCUCUCCCCACGCAGGGUUCCCUUCACCAGCAUUCACCUAAAUCUGUCACACAGAUUUGACACUGCGUCACUUGGAGUGCACUCUGAAAUGACAUGUAUAUAAUGUGGAAUAUUGUGCACAUUUACAGCCUGGACUUCCCUUAGAGCAUUAACGCUUUUCUUCUUUUUUUUUCAUGUUUUUUUUUUUUUUGUGGGAAAAAACAAGGCUCAAAACAAACACAUUUAUUUUAAAGCUUUUAAUAUUAUGAGUUAUUUUCCAUCUAGAGCUAUUGUUUUUAUUAUUCUUAUUUGAACUGUAUAAUACAUUUUUAGUAUUUUGCUGACCGUCUAGAUUAUUUUCAUCAAUAGAGAAAGCAUUAAAAAAAUGUUUUAAAUGUUUAAAUCUGUGCAUGGGUUAAGAGAGAGGCGGAUGAUUUUUGUUGAAAGCUCAUACGGGGACUGAGUGGUGUCUCAAUGUUUCUUGUGACAAGUCAAAAUUUUUACCGUCAAACUUUGGGCAGCUCAAGGCCAUAAACCUAACAACCCAAAUCAGCUCAAAUUAGGCUCUUGACUAUUUAGGCGUGAGAAAUUACCCUAAAUGAUGUCUCCUAUCAUUUUCCCUGUGAGAAAACAAUUUACACUGAUCCUGAUUUUAGAAUUAAUUAAUUUCAACAUCCUUUUAUUCAGAUAAACACUCUAUGCAAUAAAAAUAGAGCUGAUGAUAAAACAGAUGCAGAAUGAGCAUUUUCCUAUUAAUGUAUUAAUCGGUGUAAUCGUUAAUUGUACAGAGCAUUAUAUUUUCUUGCCUAUUUUAGAGCCUUUUUAUUUCAGAGUUAAUAUAUUGAUAUAAAUUUUCUAAAUGCAUAGAAAACCUUGUUCUGCUCCAGGUUUCCACCAUCUGCCAUAAACCCUUGUUUUGUAUUUCCUCCUGCAUGGAGAAAGUUGUGUAUUGCACAGAGAGCAGGCAUUGAACUGAGAGCCCAUCACCCGAGCUCACUUCUUCCCCCUUAUACGGCUUUGGCUCUGUCGCUUUCUUCUGCAGGGUUUACUGGAUAAACUGGUGGCAACUGGCCUUGGUGGCCAGUAAGACGGAUUUUCUCUCCCCAGCUGGUGUGGCUUUGCUUGUUUUUGCUGCACAUUGUGCCUCAAAAACUGGGUUGUUGUUGUUGUUUAGCAUUCUGUUUGCUAGAAGUCAAAGAUUUGAAUAAACGGUAUGAUUGUGAGACGAUUUUGUAGUUUCUGAUGUUUGUGUCUUUAGAAGCAGGCCUAAGGGGAUCAUUACAGUUCACCUGUCUGGUGAAGAUGAGAAGUCAUGGACGUCUGCUCCUUUGGGAAUCUCUGCCUCUUUGAAAAGAAAAUAGAGGUUAAAAAUCUGCUAAACGAGUUAGCAGCAACCAGAAUCCUUCUCUUCUUCAGGUAAUGAGUUUGAUUAAUUUUUGACCUUUGGAAACUUUUCACUCCUUUUUAAGCCCCCUUUUAUAUUUUGCCCUCCCUGGGAUAAUAAUGAGCUUCUACAGGGUUUCACACCGAGAACUUGAAAGAGCACACAGUUUGCAUGUGAACUACAUAGGUACACUUUAGACAGAGAAGAAAACAGCAAUUACACUUUAUAUCAUCAGCAUAUUCCAGUCCGAUUUUUAAUGUUAGAAAAUUAAACCAAACACAAAUGCUCUAGUGCCCACAAAAGGAAAUACUCUGAAAAAAGCAUGCACAUUGUUUAAGAUUCUUUCCGAACUUUACAGGAGGUCUGAAAGAACUUUUUGGCCUAUAAAUAAUAAUGCAGGGGAUGCUUAUUUUCUCACACAGGUGUUUAGAGAUCCUCUCUCUGAUAAAUCAUGAUUUGUAAACUUUCCCAUAGACAGCAGUGACAGGUUUCCUCUGAUAAUGUAGAAAAAUGGGGAAAGAGAGGGCUGGGCUUAAGUAGAGCUGUGAUUUAGAGCAGAGAGAUGCAGCAUCUCUCCUUUCCAGAGGAGGCCCUCCUGGGUUUGAUUUAAUUCUCUCCUUGCACUAUUAAAAAGGCCUUCCACUCUCUUCACUGCAUGCACCUUGCUGUCAUAACUGGCACAAAAUCAUUUAUCAAUGCCGCUUGUAGGCAGUGCGACUAAGGCCUUUCGCAGUGUAUAUUUUUCCAUUAUUGAUUGUGUAUGUAAUGCAUGAGGAAGUACAAAGAUGGGUCUCCUCCUGUGUUGGAAUGACCAUAUUAGGCCAGCAGAUGAGGGGCCUUUUGUUUUUUUGGCUUCAUCUAUAAUCCAUACAGCAAUCAUCGUCCCCUGGCGGGAAGGAAACUUUGUCCUGAAAAUGCUUUUUCAUUUUCGUUGUUGUCUUACUGUCAGCUGAACUCCACAGUGAUCCUGCGCUGGACGUACGACCAGCUGUAUUUGGUGCAAUAAACUGAAAGGCGGUGAAUGUCAGUGUCCCCCUUUGUUGUUUAAUUUAUUUUCUUUUCAAAGUGAAGGGAGGUGUCCGUGCUGUGAGAGUUAGUCAUUGAUGUGGCUAUAGUUAGUCCGUCCCCCGCUGUGACUGUCUGUAGGAGAUGCGACUUCCUCUCUCUCCUGCUCGCUCGCCGUUCAUGGCUUCCUUUCGCCUCGCUCGGUCUGUUUGACUGCAUUUUGUAUGGAGCUGGGUGCACUUGAUCAAGAACAAAAGAUUUAAGUGUGAAGUACAGCUCUGAGAGUCAUACUGCUCCAGGGUCAAACCAAGUCUAGUAACCUUCUCAACAAAGCUUCUCAAGAGACUCACACUUUUGGGAGAUCAGUUUGUGCCUUUUUGACUUUAAUAAGUAAGAAUAUUACCAGACUUCUGGUCUCUUUUUGUAGUUUUUAGGUCCUCCUAAUGUCACAAAAGUAUGAGUGAAGAAUCUAUGAUUCUUUGCUGCGGGUGUCUGACCAUCAUUUCUCGUCUUUUGGCUUACUUUUUGGAGUUGAAAGCUGAUUCGUCCAUGGCGUCAUUCAUAGUUUUUGCUUUCAAAGUCUGCAUCAUUUGCUGAUUUUGCUGAAUAUUCAGGGUUCCUACGCAAGUAUGGGACAUAUGGAAAUAAGUUUUAUCAAUUUCCAGGUCUUUAAAGUAUGGAAAAUGAAAAAUAAAGUAUGGAAAAUAUUUGUUUCCAGACUGUUGCCACAGUUCUGAAAUACUGUUUUCUAAAACAGAAAAGUAGGUAUUUCCAAAAAUAAUUCAAAAACGUAGGGUAUGGAAAAGUAUGGAAAUUCCAACUGUGUAGGAACCCUGAAUAUAACUCGUAUAAAGGAUGUAGGCUUCAGAAUUUAAACUUAUAUUUAUUUAAGAGAAAUUGGUGUAAAAAAAACGUCAUUUUUAUUUGCUGAAUGUGGACUUCUCUGUUGAACAAACUCCAUUUGUUACAUCUAAAGUUAUAAUGAUACUAAAUAGUUUUAUCAACAACAAACUAAUGGUCUUAUCGGCGAUUGGCGAGCGCACUGCUCAAUAAGCUUAAGGUAAAUGGAAAGAAUCUAUUACAGGCUGAGCGCCCUUUAUCUCAGCUGUCGUGAAUAUUGACACUUACAGUAAUUUGUCCCCAUUUUCCAUCGAUUUCUUGUUUUGCUUUCAGGUUAUGCUGUAAACAGCGCAAAUAAUGACAGAUUUGAUCAGAGCUCCCUUCAGAGAUGAUCCACGCGUAGCUGACUAUGUUGCCGACAAAGUCCCCUCAUCAGCUGUGUAACUAAUGACAGUUUUUGGAGAGGGACUAUGACAGUCAUUCAGGCUGUGACAUCUCUCAGAAACAGAUUAGGCAUGUUGUCGAUGCUGCGAAGGGGCUGUCUGACACCUGAAGACAAUGAUCAGAGCUGGCAUGGGAUGUGUUAGUUUGCUAAUUAUAAUUUAUAAGUGAGAUGAAAGGAGGCGGGGCUUUUACUGCAGUUCAGUCCAGAGAGAUGAACCCAAGCAAGAAAUAAAAACUGAGGAGAAACUAUGAAAAAGAUGCAGAGAAAUGUUUGAAGGAUUUCACAGUUAGGUUAGAAAGUAAGAUUUUCUUCACUUUUAUGUCUUCUUUUUGCAAAUGCAUAAUGCUCUUUUGAUUGUGCGUGUUCUAGUGUUAUAAAACUGCUCCCUCAGAGUUUCACUAGAAAGUUUCUAUCCACUAUCAUUUUGAAGAUUUGUGCACAAAACUGUGAUGUCUUUCCUGGGUUUUAUCACUUCCCUAUCGACGUCUGGAAUGCAUUGGUAAGCCAGGCCUCCAAGGGCUAGCAUAUAGCAGCGUCUGCAGGCUUUGUACAGGAUGAAGAAGUCAUAAUCCUCAAACAGACUUAAAUUCCUCCAGAAAGGCUCUUGAUCCUGAAUCCACUCAUUUUCUUCAAACAACCUGGCCCAAAAGAGAAGAGAUAUUUGGGCACGGCUGAAAUCCUUGAUUGAAAUCUGCUACAAGUGGGCACAGACACACGUGCACAAGCACACACACAUACAACCGAUUACACACAGGUGUGCAUGCACGCACACACACAAACAGCCCUCAUGUGCACAUUUACACAUGCACACACACUUCCCCAGCCGCUCCCAGCUGUCGGCGGGAGCCCGGACCGUCUUGUUGAGAGGGGCUCUCUGAGCUCUUAUUAAAAGGUAAACUUCUCUAAGGCCAGGGAAUCAUGUCAAUCACAGGUUGUGUUUUCGCACUGAGCCCAAAGCCUGCUCUCUCCACCCUGUCAGACGCUGUUAUCACCCUCAAAGCCAUAUCAGAAUGCUGUUUGUUCUGCGCUUUAGUUUCACCCACACAGUGGAUUCAAAAAGGUACAGGUCUAUUUGAUAGUGUAUAUUUCAUUGCCGGAGAGAGACUGUGUUUGUCUUGCUGUGUUUGUCAGCUCAUAUUUGAGCUGAGGGUUCCUAUUAAAACUAAACACCAUAUCAGAGGAAUAUUGCCACUGCCAGGCUCUUUUAAAUCGCAUAUCGUGCCCAUGGAGUUUGGAAGCAAUUUCGUUGUAGCCUUGUUUAUAACUGUGUCUGUGCUUUUGAUGUUUCUGUUUACUCUUGCUUCUCAUUUAUUUACGCAUAGUAGCGUGGCUGCACAUAUCUCAUAUACUGUAAUAAUUGUUUUACUGAUAACAUCAUUUCUAUUUUCAUAAAAAAAAUAUUACCUUGUUUGCAGUUUCACUUAUUGAAUGAAUCUCCCAUGAGAGUAGAACUAUUUUUAUUGAGCAGCAGGCAGCUAAGACUUAGGAAACUUCACAUACCUUUGUUAUUUUCUCCUACUUUAAUAUGUUUUGUGCUGGAGAUGAAGUUGGGUUGGUAACAGCACCAUGUUUGUGUUUGUCCUAAAUUUGACCACUGCUCACUGGGAAACGACAGGACUGGUAAUGACUUUUAGUUUAAGCUGUCAGGACACUUCCCUUCGAUACUUCCUCAUGAUACUUGACAGAGUUCUGUGAUGAAACGGGUUCUGAUUUUAUAUUUGCUUAGUUCUAGCUAAAUCUGUAAAAAAUGCCUCUCACCAUGAAUACUGUUUAUCUUAAUUUUAUCCUUUCUAUCUAAAUGAUUGUGUUAGUAAUAGCUCGUCAUUUACCAGCAUUUAGAAGAGGAAAACAACAGUAAAUUAGUGACACACUUCCCGUCAUUGGGAAAAAGGUGCCAAGUAUGCUAGUGUUGACCUUGUUGCUGGACCCACAGUGUCGGCUAAUUUGUCAGAUUUUAACAACAAAACCAACACACGAUCAUUAGAGAUGCACCCAUUAAUUUUUUUCUGAUCCAAUCCGAUACUGAUGCCUGGGCUGUGCGUAUCGGCAGAUGUCCGAUACCGAUCCAAUACUACUGUUGAAUGAAUGAACUGUAUACCUUACCCUAUGAGUUUAAGGCAUCAGGCUGGACAUUAGCCUCGUUAAAAAAAGGUAACAAAUCAACACUUAUGUAAAUUUACUUAACAUUAUUUAUUAACAAAUAACAAAUUGCACAGCAAAAAGAAAAGAGACUUUCAAGUAUUAAAAGAAAAAUUAAUUAAAAGAAAAAAAGUCUAGAUUGGAACGCUGGAUCGGUGUUAUUCAUCAGAUAUCAGAUCCAGUGAAUUUGUCAAUAUCGGAGCAUCCCUAACAUUAACACACAUGCGUUACAUGAUUUUGCAUGCUAGCCAGAUAAAUACAGUCAGUGAUGAUAUUAGGUUUUCAAUAUUUUCAUGCAGUCCUAGUUGCACUUGUCUGACAAAAAUGUGAAAUAACAACAAAAACAACAACAAAAGACAGGCAGCUUUGAACAAAGUAAUUAUAAAUGCAUGAACAAACUCAGCUAAUUUUUCAUUGAAGGCAGCUCUUAUUUCAUAAAUGCAUUUUUAGUGAGCUCCCUGCUGCAAGGAAACAAACUUAGAGAAUAAGAAAAACUUGAAUCUGCUCAUUAGUAUUUCAAACAGCGUAGUACUCCUGUCUGUUCAAGAGUCUGUUUCUGUAUAUAAAAACAAACAUACCAAAGAGGUUUGUGCUGGAACGCCACGUAAGCAUCCCAUUACUGCAACUCGGCCUGAUUAACAUAUGAUUGUAAUUCAUCAUACCAUGUGCAGCUGGUGACAUCUUGCAGUAGCAUUUAUUCCAUGUUGCUACAUGCCUUUGGUUCCUUUUUGACAAGUCAAAACAAACAGAUUGCAAGCUGUCGCUACAUUUGCUCAAGAUGAAUGGAGAAAAUGAAUUGGAAAAUCAGGUGUGUCAGGUGAUUAGCACAACCACGCCUGAGAUCCUUGUAGAAUUAGAGGAACUUGGUGUGUUUGGAUAAACACUGACAGUGCAGGCAGGUUGUAACAAAGAUGGGAUCAUGUGAACAGUGCUUCUCUCCAACCUUUCACUAUACAAGUCACUGAGUAUACUUGAACAUUGCCUUGAUGUCAUCAAACAUUAACAGCUCCAAAAGCUUCUGUGUGUAGCUGAGUUAGAUUCAUCAUUGUUUACUACACAUUUCAUUUGUCGACUUUGUGUAAAUGUUGUUUUUACAUGCUUGUCUGCUUGUGGAUUUCUGAUUGUAAUGCAGUUUCAAAAUACCACUCAGUUGAUAUUACUCUUUUUAAUAUUUUAUCAAAUUACUGCUCAGUUCAAGUGUUUAAACAAGGACAAGUGUAUCUGGUGGAUAAACUUCAUUAAAGGUUGGGGACAGAACAUCAGUAUAGCACUAUGUUGUUGUUGUUCUGAUAUGUGCAAACAAUCAUUGAAUAACUGCUGCCAAAUACCAAUAUAUUGAUUGAAAUAAUACAGCUCUCAUCAGUUUACCCCUCCAAUAUGACUCACCGCAUCAGUUAUUGAUUUCCCCUCCUGAUAAAGUUAAUUACAUGAAUCCAGCCCUCUUACGUAUUUUGGGUAACGUUGUAGUCUCACAUUAACCUAAUAUAGUGAUAUACUUUAAUAUAUUUUUAUUUGAAUCUCAUUAUGUUUCAUAUCAUAUUAUACUGAAUUGUAACGUACUAUUCAGUCAUAUCAGGAUCAUCGUAUCAUAUUGUAUUGUAUUGUAUCACAACGUAUUGUAUCGUAUCGAAUUGUAUCAUAUCAAAUCGUAUUGAAUCGUAUUGAAUCAUAUUGUAUCGUAUCGUAUCGAAUCAUAUCGAAUCGUAUUGUAUUUUAUUGUAUCAUGUUGUACUGUAUCGUAAGACAUUUCCUGGCCUGGUUUGUCUUGUCUCCCAUGGUAUUAUGUGAUAUUGUUUCCCAUAUCAUGCAGUAUCACACCAAAAUGUGUUUUAUUGAAGCGUAUUGAACUCAACUGUAUCCUGUCAUACCUUGAGUCAUCCUGUAGUCCUCUCUACUUCUUGAAAUUUCUUACUUCUUUCCUGAAUUCUCAUUUUUACAGAUUUUUUCUGCACAGAUGUAAUAUUUCUAAGUCUUUUGUCCAGUUAAUGCUUGGAACCAGAACCGAAUCUCGUGCCUGAGAUAACUUUUUUAAACGACCUAAAAUAAAGUGCCAAACCUUCCACUUUUGAAAGACAGAAGUGAAGAGGUUGAACUCAAAGUAUUCUGACUUCUGCACCUUGUUUGUCGUGCACACAGCUUGACAUUGGCACUGAGGGACUCUUGAGUGGUAUCACUAUAGACACUGGCGGCUCAGCUCUGUUGUGCAGCAGUCUCAGGAUAGUAAUGGGACGCAGUCACCAGGGAACCCUUUGAGUGUGUGUACUGAGGGAAAACUGACAGGAGCAGAAGAGAGAGCAGAAAGAUUCAAACGAAUGAGCAAUAGUGAGGGAAAUAGAGGAGCAUUUGUAUGGUCUUCACUGCCACUGAAGUUGUAAAAUGGAAACAUAUUUCUCCCCUGACAGCUACAGUAGAUCUUACCCCCUGAGUGGAUCUGCUUAUGAUGUUGUUCGGCGUAGAGGUGGGCCGCAGGGGUGUCCCAAAGGCUUGUUGUUUCUUGUCAGAGAUUAGAUUGAACCAAGCAGCUCUGGUUCAUACUGCUGCUUGAAAGAAGUCGGGACUCCCUGUCACUGACCACAACCUCUGAGCUUUGCUCUGUAAUACUGAAUCCAGAUUUAUUUCCCUUUGUGGAAUAAAAUGUAUACUAUUUUCAAAGAGGCUCGGCCUCCCUCUGGGGUUUCUAUACUUGAAUAUUUGUCUCCCGUCGCGUACAGUCGCUGGUGCAUUUCUGACUGUAGGGAAAAGAGGUUAUUUUAAAUACAUGUCUCCGUUAUAUGUCAGUUAUCUUUGAUUUUUUUUUUUCAUAUUUUUGUUUGACUCAACCUAAAACAACAGAUGUGUUUACAUUAGUUUGUAUUCAGUGUUUUGUCUCUGUUGUUUUAAGCCUUUAUUCCAUCAAUCAAGAUAAAAAUCAGGGGUUUAAAUGGACAUCCUGCAGUAUCUGUUCUAUUAUUAUAUUAGUGUCAGAAUCCAUAUCUGAAUCAGUCCGGGUUUUCCUAGGUAGUUAGUAGGGGUGGGAAUCACUAGUGGCCCCACAAUACAAUAUUAUCACCAUUCUUCGGCCAGGAUACAAUGUUAUUACGUUUUUUUUACAUUUUGCAAUACAUUGAGUAUUGUGAUACAAUAUAUUGUGAUUCAUACAAUUUUUUCAACUGUUCAGCUAAUUUAGCAUUUGUCUUUCCUUUAUGUUUGUCUUAUUUACACUGUAUUUCAUUUUCAUGUAGCACAUCCUACAAACCAUAUGUUUGUUGUACUAACCAGUGAAUCAACCUCACUGGACAAACAGUUGAUAUUUAUUUUUCCAUUAUCAUAGAUUUGACUUCAUAUUAGCAAUUAAUUUGAAAAAAUCAAUACUUGGUGGAUGAGACGAUACGAUAUAUCACCGGACAAAAUAUUGCGAUACUAUGCUGUAUCGAUUUUUUCUCCCACCCUUGGUAGUCAGUGCCUCCUUGUGGCUGGCAAGUUUGGGUUGCAUCAUUUACUCCACAUUGUGCCAAGCAGAGAGUCUGGGUGUUGUGAGGGUGUUAAAACUGCAGUUCUCAGGCCUCAAUGUUAGGUGUUUUUAUGGGAUGUCAUAUUCACACUCUGGAUGAAGGGCGCAGCACUUGUUUGUCAUGUCAUAUCCAUCCACAACAAUGUGACAGGAACACAGGGAUUGGACAAAGCGAUUGAUUUUCCUUCAUCAGUUGGGGGAGGUGUUUUAACAGCUGUUGGAGGGGAGUGAGGGAAGAGCCUUGGACUUGAUAUCUGUAUGAUAAGAACUUCACGAAAAUGAAUUUUUAGCAGUAUAAUGUGCGUCACUUUUCAGCCGUUUUCCUGUUUAAUGAAGUUUUGAGUUUCCCUGACGGGUAUCAGUUUUAAGGGUUUUUGGGAAUUUUGUUUCGUGAUGGCCUUUAGACUGUACUUAAGUAAAUUGCGUUGUAAUUGCCUGGCAAUAGAGAUUUUUUUUUUCCUUUUUUAGAAAUUACCCCCCUUUGCUGUAAUAAUCAAUUUGAUGCAUGCUUGUCUGCUCUGUGAGGGAAGAGGUUAGCUGUCCCCCUUAGUUUGAGACAGAAGGCUUAGGGAGGAAUCCACUGCAGGCAUCUGUCAGUGAGGUAAAGAGCGCUGACAGCCAUACGUCAUCUAUGCCUGGUGCAGGCCCCUGUAUUUAAAAGAGUACGGCAGUCAAAAGCCCAUAAAAGUGAGUGACUCCUCUGGAGCAUCUGCCAUUGCAUGCAGGGAGGAGAUUCAAUGUGAAAAAGGGGAGAUAAUGUGCUCACUCACUAAUGGGCACCCGACUAGACACAGGCUCAUUUUUCACAUCAUGUCAUCUGUAAGGUUUGAAUAAAAGUAAUGGCCAGGAUGAGCCUGGAUCUCUCCCAGCCAUUAUGGCUUCUGCUUCCUCACUUUUAUUUGUGUUGACUUGUACAGUUGGAGGAGAUGACAGUCUCCGGGUCUGCGGAUCAGUCAGAGUGAUGAUCUGCACUGCUCCCCUCUGCUGCUGACAGGUCCCUUGUCUCUGGCAGGCAUGUGAGGCCAGAAUGCCGCACUACGUCAUAUCAAAUGCUGUAAUCUGACAGAAUAAAGGGAUUCGCACACUGGGGACAUCACAAACUCUGUCUUUUGUAAUUUUCUGACAGAGACAGAAAGGGGAAAUGAAGGGGUUCCUACAGUUUCAUGUAGUAAGAAUUAGUGUCAGUCAAAGUUAAGUGGCUAUUUUAAGAUAAAUAGGAGAGGAUUUCCGUGGCAUGUUUUGGGGCAUUGGGCUUUAAAAGACUAUGCUAAUGUGAGCAGAUACUGAUUGGUCGCUGGAUGUUUUCAUUUCCUGAACAUUCAGAGUCGCAGGACACAGCGUGUCUAAAUAUCCAUUCUGAAAAGGUUAGUGCGUAAUUAACGCUUAAAUUCACUGCCACUGUCAGCUGUGUUCAGUUCAGAAUAACAAUAGAUGCUCCAAUGUUCAUCUUUUCAUCUGUGAGAAUACACUGUAAACUAAACCCAAAGAAAGGCAUCUGAAUAUUAAAUAGUCUUUGUGUUUUAUUGUGCUUUUGUUGCUUUUGUGCUUCAGAGCAGUUGCAUAACACAAUUAUUGUAUGUGUGAGAAAGCCUUGAUGUUAUAUAAUAUAUAUUUCAUGCUUCAACAAUUGCUUUUGGAAUAAAGGACUGUUUUGUGUCGGCCCCCAUAAAAUGGGAAGAUGGAUGAGAAAACAAGUGAUUUCCUUAUUAGGUUCAGGAGUCAAAGGCCCUCUUCCCGGGCUUUGGGCUUCAAGAGCCCAGAAGAUUAAGACAUAUAUUGGAUUCAUGAUGGAGGCCACAAAGUUCAUUUUCAAAAUAAAACAGAAUAUUAUUCACAGUCCUUUUAAAAUUCAGAUUGCCAGCUGACCUGUGACUUGGAAGUAGUGUAUUACAUUUUCAAUGAGCUGCUGCUAUGUCACUUGGAGGAAAAAUCCCAUUUCUUGCUCCUCUGCCAGGGGAAUUAUGGGAUUAGACCAACCGUAGUUUAAGGAACUAUGAGAGAAACAAAGAAAUUGUUAUAAAAUUUAAUUCUGAGAUCUUGUGUUUUUCUUUGUUUUCUUCUCCCAUGUCUCUUUUUGACUGCACUUUGUGUUAAUUCUUUAAAGCAAUGGAGCAGAGACAGAUAUCUUAUUGAGUCUCACUGAGACAACACUGUAGUGAGGGGAAACGUAAACAGUCCUGCUUUGUAAGGCAGCGAAAAUCUCCCACCGGUGAUAUUAUAAGAGACACAUGCACACAGCUCGGGCUGAUUUUCAUAUAUAUUAAAAUCACUACCUACUGUGGCAUAUGAAAUUGUGCAAACUGCUAAGGCCUCAGCUUACCAGUGGAACUUCUGCCUCCCUUUGAUUCAGAUUUUCCUCUCUUGUCUCUGACCCUAAAAAAAGGUGGCCAAUAAUCUCAUUCACACACUGUUUCCGUCGCAGACCCUCACAUACCCUACAGAAGACCAUAAAAGUAAUAUUGACAUUGUUCAGCUGCAUAAAAAGUUGCAUGUCAUACACAAAUAUUAUGAAAAGUGAACGCUUCCCUCAUAGCUGCAGGUACAAUAGAAAUCUCCAUUUAAACCCUCCCCAGGGACAUUGGAAAUCUGCGUGUAUACACAGCUCAUUCACAGAAAUCUCAUCAUAAUACUCAGUCCAAAUUCUAAUUUGACCAUUACAGUUGUGAUGGCUUUGAGAUAUUGAGGAUGUAUGUGGAGCAUAAUCAGUCAGUAGACCUGGUGGAGGGCUGCACCACAUAUGGUAAUAAAGCCACAACUUGAGCUCAUUCCCAUACUACCCCCCUCCGUCCAACCCCCCAUCUCCCUGCACCAAUGCCUGCCUCAUCACUCCACACAAAAUAUCCCACCCUUAAUUGGUCUGUGCUCCUCCAACAUGUUUGUAAUGAAAAAGCAGCACAUAAUUCUUAGUUUGUUGGCUGGCAGAGCCCAAUUUACAAAAGUGGAGGUUGGUGAUAAGCAGAGACAGUACGGCUGUGGAGUGCUCAGAACAAUGAAUCACCCCGCUGCCAGGGUUGAGCAGAAUAUAAUUGAGUCCAACAUCUCUGAGCACUUUCACCAUAAUUAAUGAUAAUCUGUAACAGAGGAAUCUGAGAUUCCAGUUCACAGAACUGUUUAAUUAGGCCCAGUAAUGAAAGCACAGGCACUACAAGAAUAUGGCCGGCCUCAUGAUUAAUGAUUUGUGCUACUGAACACAAAAGUGCUGCACCGUUAACUCCAACGGAUGCUGCUGUGUCUCUCUGGCAUUUACACAACACCAACAUACAUAUGGAGCUGUUUGCAUCCCCCAUAUAAAACAGGAUAACUACACUUAUUUUUUUCUUUACGUAUAUAAUCCUUGGUUUUUUUUUACUAUCAAAGCACUGGUCAAAACCAUUUUUCCCUGAAUCAAAAUGAUUUUAUUUUUUUUUAAUUUAAUGGCUGUAUGUGUUUUUAUACACAAAUAAGGUCAGUUAUAUUACCUGCCUGUUCUAAUAUCAGACAGGAUUAGCCAAAAUGUUUCUCUUUCCUUACCUGUGCUGGAAUGACGGCAUAAUUAUGAUAUUUAACUCAAUAAAAGAGAGUUUCAUCUGUCAGUUUGUGUAUAUCAGUCUAUUUUAGUGUGGUUUGAUACAAUGUGAAGGCCCCUUCCUAUCAAAUUAGAAAUAGAGCAAAUCCAUGAUAUCUAUCAGGCUGGUUCUUAAGGUAUGAUUUUUUUAAUAUAUCUAAUCCAUUUGGUUAUGACAGCACUAGGAUAUGAAUGAUGAAAUAUUACAUUAAAAUCAAGUUUAAGCUGGUAUGGUUUUCAAAUUAAACACAGUGACUUAUUAUUUACUUGGCUACACAGCUAGUAAAAGCUCUCUGUGUAUAUGCCGUGAUACAGCUCUGUGCAAAAAGAUUGGCAGGUGACAGAAAAAUAAUGUGUGCUACCGCUCACUCGAGUAAUAAAAAAGGACAUAAGAAUGGAGGUCUUUUACUUAAAAGUAUGGAUUACAUUAUUGAAUGAAAUGCUCCAGCUCCUGUUUGUGCCUUGCAGGCAUCUCUGUGGUUAUUUCCUGGUAGUAUAGCCAGAGUUGUGCGACUUCAUAACACAGCAGCAAGCAGGGCUGUGCAGGGACUGUGUGCUAGAGUGGCUGCACCUCUUAAAUGGAUCUCAUGAAAUGCACAGUAAUACAGUCAUACCAUUACAGAAACAAAAUAAGAUUUUUGUUUGGCAUGAAUUGGAUUUCUACCCAGAAAGAAAAAGCUAUUAGUCACUCCCUGUCAGUUUGUUGGCUGCUCCCAGUUUGAUGUUUUUCUGUGCUCGACCUCUGAAGUUAAAUUUCACACUUAGUUGCAUAUUUCCAACUUAAUGCUUCCUAUGGUGAAAUGGUUUGGCAAAUCAAGAAUCAUGCUAAGAGACACAACAGAAAGAUCAGUCUAUUAUAGAAUAAAAAGACCAGUAUGCUGUGCAGGAACCCACCAUUCAUUUUACUCAUCAUACCGAUCAGUAAAAUGUUGAAGUCUCCAUCAAGCAGACACAAGCCAUAGGAAAAGACACUGUGAAAGGCAAUAAGCGUGGAAAACCAGGCAGAGAAACUCAACCCUCAUAAAUCUAUGACAGAACUUUCUGAAAAUGAGAAAGAAGAGACCAAAAAAAGAGGCUAAUAUAGAUGUAUUCCUAAGGAGGAAAUGACUGUAACCGCCCACCCCCUUGCCCUCCCAUUCCCGUGUCUAAAUCUUGUUUAGUUCUUUAAUUCUACAGUUUCUGACCUGGAUCUGGCCAUCGCUACACAUGAAAGAAAUUACAAAAGCCUCUCAGUCACAGCAGCCCAGCUUCCUCCUGCACCACAGCAUUUGUCAUUGCCAAAACAGCAGAGUUUAAUUAAGUGUUGUGAGCAGCCUAGUGAGAAACACACUUUAAAUUAAACCUCUGAACAUGCUGCUAUUGGUUCUUUACCUUCUCAACAAUCAGCGGGGUAUACGGCAUAAAUUUCUAUCUCUCGAGGGGGAAGGCAGCUGCUGCACCUCUAGCGAUUCAUAAACGGCUCGCCUCCCCAAGAGCAAUCUCUAUUACAGCACAUUUCAUUAUAGCCCAGUUUGGGAACAGCAAGCAGAUGAAUGUGAUAAUUAAUGUUCCUUCCCAACUAAACAUUUUAUUUACUCUUGAUGAAUUAACAGCCGUUAUCAGGGUUGAAAAAAACAAAGCAUGUACUGUAUGGUUGGUGCGUCUGUGUAGGUGAAAAGAAUUACAUGGCAUAUUAUCUUCUGAGGCAUCAAGCAAUUCUUGAUGCAAGAGGCUGAAUUAAUCCCAUCCUCUCCAUGAUAAUGGAUUGUUUCAAGUUGGUAAGCAUUUAAAUUCAGCUAUGCAUUUGUAAGUGUGUCUUUUAUAAUAUCACAAGAUACAUCAGUUUAUGGAGGCGACGUAAGAGGCCCUUUAUAUCUGUGGAAAUGACAGUCCUUUUGGGUUACUUUUGAAUUGGCUCUGGAGAUUUCAAGAUGUUAAUGAUCAAUGAUCAAUGAUAUCAACAAUUGUAUUCACACCUGAUCAAAAAGCAACAUUUAGAUACAUCAAAAUAAAUUGGCAAAUAUGCAAAUGGUACAGACACACUAUUGAUUAUAUGUCAUCAUACUGCAAUUCAGUGUCAUGUGAAGGUGACAGGAACAUGAUAUGUUGCCACAAAAGACAUGCACUAACCAGGAGGACACUCACAGGGUAUACCAGGUUAUAAUUUGGAUGCAUUUUAUUAGAUUUUUGCCAAUAUUCAUUAUGCUAAUGUCAUAUAAGACAAUUGCCAAUGCCGAUACUUACAUUCGACUGUUUCUUUUGUAACCCAAUUAAAGGGACUGUCAAGUCUCUCAUAUUUUUAUGCCUACAGCUAUGAUGAUCCACUGGCAAAUACAAAAAUAAAAUAGUUUUUUUUUUUAUAAUGUGUUUUUGUUUGUAUAAAAUGAAAAAUGGCUUUAACCUAGGUUCUCUGUAAAUAGUGUUUUGUUUGAGACAUGAAAUGUAGCAACAUGACACAACAUGAUUUAAUAUGAUAUCAGAUCAAUAUGAUGUAUAACUACUGUUAGCAGGCUGGGUGAUAUAUACCAUGAUUAAUGGGUCAUAUGCAUAGUGAAAUACACAGCAAUUCUCUACAUAAUUCACUGAAAACUUAAAAGCACAGCUGAGAAUAAAACUUGUAUAAACUGAGUCAAAAAUAUUUAAAGAUGUCCAUGUCAAAUACCAGAUUUUCAACCUUGAAUAUGUCACUUGUAGCAACAAUAUUAAUGCCUGUUUUAAUACCUGGGUAACAUUUAAAUCUUGUGCGACAGCAGGUCUGAUAAAGAAUAGGACGGCUACGUACACUCAAAAUCUAAUCCCUAGUAGCACAUUUGUGCAGAGCAGAGUAUCUAUAGUUAUUUUUAGAGCAUAACUGCAGUUAAAAAAAUCUGAAAACAUCUUCUUUGUGUCACUGCACUGUUUUCUAUAGCAGUGCUCACUCUCUUUACAUGUCACUUAACCCCCGCUGCUCAAUCUCUUUUGCUUGUGGUAGCCUCAGGCUCAAGGAGCCAGCCUACUAGCUGAGCAAUGGCAUCUAUAGGUAUGGAAGUAAAUGUUGUUACAGGAGUUUAAGAGGAAGGAAAUGAUGUUUGUAAUCCAUUUAUGUGUCAGUGUUAGAGGCAGAAAAAUCAAUAAACUGUUGUGAAAUCCCCUUUUCUGUAUCAAUGUAGCCUUAACAAGUAUUAAGCCAUUACUUAUUUUAGCUCAUGCAAACAUCUUGGAUGAAACUCUCUGCCAUCACCUCGUUGGACUUCAAGGCCGUCACCUUCUGUUAACUACUUUAUUAAAUAAGUAUGUCGGGCGUGUGCAGAGAGGACACAGAAACACAGUUAACAUCGGACAACAUUGAAUUGGAUCAGUUUAUACAAAGGGUUAAAAUACGUUUCUGCAACCAUAAUCACAACAUUGUGCUCCGGUUAAAUGCAACAACUGGUGUUUGGAUUGAUGCUAGUUAGGCUACGCAGGGAGAACUUAUUUUAAUGAGGGUUUGUACAUUAUAGUAUUUUUUAAAACUAAAAUAACCCAUUAUAAGCCACUUUUUAAAACUGAGGUUGUUUCUUAUUUUUGAUUUAAUGAUAACUUCAAAUUGAUUCCAGACAUCAACCCGGUGGUCCUCCUUACCUGGAGAAUAGACUCUUGACUGCUUUACUGUUUGAGCUACAUUUGAACAAAAGUAGGGAAUCUGUCAAUUUGUGAAGCAAUGAUGCGGGCUGUAGCAUUUAAAUUUUAAUGAAAAGGUUCGUGAGACUUCUUCUCCACCCAGCUCAGGUGCGGCACUUCUCCUUAAAGUGUGGUUUAGCAGCUUCAUUCAUAAACUCGAUUUUUAUUGGUGGACGUUGGCGCCUAAUCGGGCUGAGUGGUUGAAAUAAUAGUCAAGUCUUGUGCCCAUAUAACAAGCCAAUCCCUGGCACAAACACAGAAACCAAUCAAACUCAGCCCGCAUGAACCUUAAACAAAGGUGGAGGUACAUUUUCUAUCGAUGUUGGAUGACAUUUCCUUGCCCUCCCGUUGCUGCUGCUCCUACGUUUGAGUGAUCAGACAGCUAUUACAAGGUCCAGGUUUAUUAGCGAGACCAUAUAGGCCCAAAGCUCACUGCGGUGGAGGUGUAAUUCUCUACAAAGUGUGUCACGUUAACUCUGUUGACUGAUCCAUACAACAGCUGGUUGAGAGGACCUCUCACACCUGCAGCAGCCCUGUAAGGGGGCAGCAAUGUCUGUAGCUCUGCAGUGAAACCAGAAAAAGCUUUGACACGCUUUUCAUAGCUGGCUGGUAGCAGGCUGUAACUUCUAUACCGUAAUUGUAAAGUGCUCAAGUGGAUGAAGUGUCUCAUUUGAAGUCUCCUGACUUAACUUGCAAGGUACUGGGCUCAGAUUAAAAAUCAAAGUUGACUUGUACUAUGAUGUGGUUCAUAGUGGGAGUGGGUACACUGUAGAAAGUGAGCUUCUUUUUAUGUUUAAAUCUAAAAUCUCCAUUUUUUUUUACUUUUAUAACAAAGAUGCUUUUGUUUUGAAAGAAUGCAAAAUUGCUAAAUAGUAAUAUUUUGGGAGUAAAUGAAAAUUAUUGGGCGGUCAUCAGCCUAAGAAAAACUUAGUCUACUGAAUUUACACCCACUCAUCAUCAGCUAGUUUAAAAAAACAAAGUUGCGGGUUAUCUCUAGAUCAGUCUAACUAGAGACAGUGAAAUCAGUAAACCCUGUCUGAUGGUCAAAUAGAUUAAAAUAAUCAUCUUUUUGCAACUUAAUAUAUUAUUUUUAAUCUCGCAUUUUAUGUUCAUAUUAAAAAAUAUUACUACUGUAUUGACCUGAAUGUAAGUUGAAUCAUUUUAGAUCACAUGUGUAAGCAUCACAGUGGUAUCUUAUUUUUUAAAUAGACUCGUGAGCUUUUUAAUCUUAAAUGAGUCUUAAACUGCUCAUUAUCUUUGGACAUUGCAUUCUGUGGCAUGUUAUUUCUUGGCUGUUUGACAGUUGUUGAUUUGUUGUUCUUACUUUAUUCUAAGCAUUGAGCAAAGUGUCAGUUUAUGGGAGACAGGAGGGUGGCUGACUUGAAUUUCUUCCUGCUUAAUCGUAUAAUAAAUUAAACGGAGAGAAUAAGUAAAAUAUAUUUAAAUGUAUUUUUUUAACAACUGUCUUUAAAGGUAAUAUUACAAGAAGAGCUAAUAGCUUGAGAACUAUGUGCUACAUGUAAGCAAAAAAAAUGACAAAGAGUGCUUGUACUCUACUUUAUGGGUAGGACAUAGCUCAAUUAAAAAGAUAAAAAAAGAAAAAUGUCUAAAGGACCAGGAAAAACUUUGUUGAGCAUCUAAGGUUUUCUAUAUAGCUUUCAGGCCAAUAGUGUCCUUAAAAUGACUCACUCUAGGAAGAACCUCGUCUUAGCCUGACUCACUUAGGCUAAACUGAAAGUUGGAGUCUGGUCUGUGGAGUUUUCCCUUAAUGUCAUACAACCUUUAACCCUUGCCUAACAGCAGAUAGCUAGCUAGCCACCCAGCUAACAUGGCUACCCGUCGGGUUAAAGUGUUUUAAGCGCUCACUGUUCCACUGAGUUGAAAUUAAGUUGAAGUGUGUAUUGCCUGACCACUUAAAAGUUCAUUAAACUGUCAAACAAAGAAUCCUAGAAUAUUUUAUCCCACAAAGGAAGCAUGUGGUGGACUCUUUGCAGCCUGGGAAAAAAAGAAGGGCAUUAGCUGGACACAUUUGAAUGGACCCUCAAAAUGGCCCAGCAUUCAAUGCUCCAUUAUGACACAAUGGGCCCUUUAAAGCAUGAUGGCUCUAAACACAUAGCUGCAUGUUCUCUGCUGUGAAGUCCUCACCUGCUGCCGCCAUGUCUUUAAGCCUGUUUUAGGAACUAAAAGGAUUACUCAUGUCCAACAUCACAAGUCAAGGGCAGAUCCACCUCAGUUGUUAACAAAAGUGCAGAUAGUAAUUUUUAUAUCUCACAGAUUUAAAUUCUUUGUUACAUCCCUGUUACUUUUACAGUCAGUCCUGCAAUAUUUGCAGUUAUUGUGAAGGCUUUGCUGUUAAAGUUAGUGUCACACUAGCUAUAUAAGAUGGGAUACAUGUUACUUGUUUGACAGUAAAUCUCAGAUCAAAGGUAACCGUGGUGACAAUGAACCCUGAUGGUAGAUAACUUACCCUUUGUACAACAUGUAAAGAUGUAUCUGGACCUCCAGCAUUAAGGCCAGAGUUGGAUCUCUUUCAUCGUUGAUCAUUUAAGGAUGCUCCUCUGCUCUUCCUCUUUGAAUUGCCAAAUGAUAUAUGAUCACUUCUUCAGCCCUAGUUAAUGUACACUAUUAGCUCUGUAUUUAAACAUGAUAAUGUAAUUGAUUCACAAAUUGAUUUAUUGUUGUUAAUUCAAGUGUUUCGUGUAUUAAUCACAGCAAAGAAAUUAAUUUAGUAUAUUUUAUGAGCUGUUGUGCGAUCAACUAAUGAUAUAAAUUAAUCAAGUUUAAUAAGAAUUCAAACAAUAUUGUUCACCUAAUUUGUCACUUUGUAAGAAGGAGGAUGAACAAGGGCCUUUUGAUUUACAACAUAUAACUCUACUGGGUUGUUUGAGGUAAUUACACCGCUUAUUUUUGGAUUAUACUCUCAGCUAAUAAUGCAUUAGGUUCACGUUUGUGGUCUUAUCCACUCCAGGUGACAGCCAUGCAUUUAAUCCAACUGUGUUUAGGGUUUGAGGGGCCCAAUCACUUCCAGGUCAUAUGUCCAAAUGCAGAUCUCUCUGUUGUGUUUUUGUAGUCUAACAAACAACAAGCUGCUGAAUUUAUUUGGUUUGCAGUCCUGCCAAUCUAAAGAGACCCUAACUUUUGCCUCAUUCAUGUCUCUCUUUUCAUGUGAAUCCAUGAAAGUGGAGCUUUACUGUGAUAAAAGUGUUUUUAUUCUUUGCUUUGAGUAAACACUGCACUUGUUUCCCACUCCAGAGAGACAUUUAAGUAGUUCAUUAGUGGCUAUGUCAUGUCUUUAAAGUAUUGAUCCCUCCAGUCAAUGAAAAAAUAACAACUCCGGUUAUAAGCUACUUGUCCAUAGCGAUGGGCAACAUAAAUUAUUUAAAAAGGGCACAUUCACUGCGGCCAUGGAGCCAUCAAUCAUAAGAUAUGGCGAUGACAAAAAAGCUGUGCUUCACAGGUUCCUCCUAUCUCCCCCCAGAACAAUUCUAUCAGCCAGGUGAGUGUGAAGAGGCAGGAUGACCUGAUGUCACUCACAUUGUUGCCUCUGCCUUUGAAGGGCCCAGCUCUCCUCUCAGUCUGGGAAUGGGAUAGCUAAAUGGAUUCUCUGUGUUUACCGCUGGCCACCCUCCCAGAGCACACUUCAAUUUGUCUAACAAUAAAAGAUGGACAGAAGAGCUGGAGUUUUCCAAACAAUGGAUGAAUUUUUUAUCAAAUGCUUGAAUUGAGUUGCAAGUGGCGAAAUAUUUAUUCAUAGAUCUUUAGUCAGAGGUAUUGUGUUGAAAGUAAAAGACAACAAGUGUAAAGGUUUACUUGAGACGGAUUAUCUCUAUCUCUACUGUUCUGUCUCAGAGUAAACAGGAUUCUUCAAAUCUGAUUGUCAUCAUUUUUACCUGAUUUUUUUAAAUGUCUGACAAGAUAUGCUAAUUGUGGGCCUUUACAAUCUGGGGCAACACAAAUUCUCCACUGCCAGUUAGAUGGUACUUUAACAUCAAUACAAUGAGACUGAUGUAGGAAUCUUGCAAACUUUCAACUUCCAUUUGCUUCUGGAGUCAUUUGGAUACGCAGUAAAUAGGACAUGCAAACCAGCACUUCCUUUUCAUUUGCUAAUGUUCAUUAUACUGUCACUAGUAACAUGAGACCACAGAGGGAGCUGGAGUGUCGAGCAGCAGGUUGGAAUAAUGGAAAAUAUAAAGGGACCAGGUGACAAGACUUUGCAGGUGCAGAUUUAGACCAUAGUCAUUGUAUUAUUAUUUAGACCUAACAUCAAAACAGGACAAGAUUCAGUCCCCUAUUACAGGUGAGACCCAGCCUUACCUCAUCUUAAUCCAUCAUAAGCAGAAAACUCACCAGGUUACAUCAAGUUACAGUGGAGAGGAAAAACUUCCUGUGAACAGACAGAAACCGCAAGCAGAACCAGAUUCAUGUCAGACAGACAUCUGCCAUGACCAUGUCUGGAUUGGAGAGAGAGAGAGGGAGAGGAAGAGAGAGUGAGAGGGAGAGAGAGAGAGAGAGGUGGACCCCAAACAACAUCAACAACAGGUCACACAGUAUUAUGGUUACAGUUACAGAUUUAAUGGAAAAAAAUGUUUGUGAUAUUUGCAGAGGAUGCAUAUGGACAGUAUUAGACUGAUUUUAAUGUCUAACGCAGUCAGAGUCAACGAGUCUGAUUUAAGCAUUUAUACUAAUGAUACAAACAAUAAGGGUAGGAAUGAAAGUCACAGAUCACACGGUAUCAUGGGCAUUGUAAUAGUGAUAAUAAUGGUGAGAAUGAAACUCAUAGCUGUGGCUGUUAGUCUGGCAGGCCCACAGCAGCAAGCCAUCUGCAGCAACAAAAAAGAGGAAUCUUUAGUUGGAUAUGAGAAAUUAAAGUUAAAGUUAGUGACAUGAAAACAUUGUUUGGAAAACUCCAGCCCUAACAAUAAACUUUAUGAAAGAGGAAAAUAAGUGUACUCUGAGAAGUACAGAGGGUGUCUGCUUCUUACACCCUGACCAGGAAUUUUGAAGGAGAGGGUCCUGAGGGCUCCUCCUCCAGCAUGACUUUUAGGAAGAGCAGGGCUGCAUGCUUUUUAACAUUAGUAAUGUACUGAUCUCUUUGGUAAUGGACUGUUGUACCUUGCAUUGCUCAAGGCAGCAUCAGGUGAAAAAAAUUACUGUAGAUCUGUUUUUUACAAUUUUUAGUGCCGUCUGAUUCUUAAUUACAUUAAAAUUGUAUUCAAAACAGUAUUGUUUUAAACAGGGACACCAUUGAUCAAUAAUUUAGCUGUUAUUUUUAUGGGCUUAAAAUAUCAUUACAAUAUUGGUUUAUAAAAAAUGAAUUCAAAAUAGACAGAUCAAAAAUCAGUAUUUCUUCUGUCUUUGCCAAAUAACUAAGUGUGACUGGCUCACUACUGGUCUGAUUUUAUCAACAAUAACAUGGAGGAAGUCCUGCACUGUUUUGAAAUAGAGCAAAUAGCGGCCAUGAAAUGUGUCCAUAGUCUAAUACACAUCAUGCCAACCAGAAGUGGUGCAUCCCACUCAUGAACAUUGACUUUUGAAGCAGGUCUUCAUAAACACACACCAUUAAAGCCUGAUAAAUACAGCCAUAAAAAGGCAGCCAGGCAAAUACAAAACACCGGGAGACACUUAAGUGUAGUGGACGAGUCUUUGAGUUUGAGUUUCAAAAACCCCACUUUGAUUAAUAAUUGAUUAUAUAAACCCACACUACAUGAAAGGCAGGAAGAGGUGCCAUUCUUGUGAACGGCCAGCCAGUCAAACAGCACUUUGUUGUUUCAAAUGCUCCCCUGCAUAUCCGUACCGUGGUCAGUCCUCUAACCAGCCCAGCGCUGUGCAACAAAGACAGGCUGACAAAGAGCCCGCGCUCCCCUGAUGAAACGAGACAUGCAGAGAUAUGAAUGACUACAUCUGAGGGGUAAUUGCUGCAGAGCAGGAGCCUCCUACCUCGUUUCAUUUAGUCUAUUAGCAAUUUAUGGCCGGUCUCACUCAGCUCCACACAGGAGGGGUUUGAUCUAAAUUCUCAUGAGCUUUUAGGUGAGGCUGGGACCCAGUAGAGAGCCUUGAGGGGAAGAAAAGGGUUUCACUUACCACUGUUCUAAUUCUCUUUGGCUUAUCAUUAAUUUGUUGUCACAGAAGAAAGGUGAGCAUCACACAGAUCUAAUUAAAGUUAAUGGGAUUAUGAUCCCAUUCUCUGAGUCUCUGAAGUCCUGUUUUACAGUUGUUAAGACAUAUGAGUGAUUGUCUCUUAGUGUCUCAUCAUCACCGUGCUGUCCCUCUGUGUUGACUUAAUGACUGCAUGUGUGCAUAUAAUAGGCUGAGGUAAUCCAAUUGAGUCAAACUGAUUGUUGAAAUUAUAGACUUUAAAGAUAAGGGAGUUGGACGAAGAGUAUAAAUGACUUCUGAGCAAUAGCAAAAUGAAGGACUGAAACUUUGAUUUCUGGAGGGAAAUCUGUCUGAUAGUGGGAAGCAUCUUUCCUCACAGAGCAGCUGAAAUAAUGUCGAUAUUAAGACACAGUCUGCAAAUAUUUUAGCAGUCUCAGUCCUUGUGCCUCUGUGCAGGGUGCAGUUUCAUUGCAGGGGUUCAGGCCGAAGGUGAAGGUGUUGGUGAUAUCAGAGGCCCUGCAGGCUAAUGCCUGGUGUCAGCCCCCUACUGAGAAGGAUGCAGACCUGGGUGUAUUAGGGUGGGGGUUCUGACUGGUCCAACAACAAGAAGCAGGCAGAGCGGGCAGGCUGACUCUGUUUGAUGGCUUCAUGCCGCUCGGGCCUGGUGGCCAGCACGCCAAGACAUCGUGUUAGCUGAGACUUGAUAUAUUUUGAUAUUAGCAGUGUUUGGAAGCAGAGGUUGUUUGAGUAUAACUGCAGUGUAGAUUGAACUUAUUACUGUGAUUGUGAGACAUGCAGAAAGAAUGUGUUUUUUUUUAAAGGUUUUAAAGGUUUGUGUUGUAGAAACUUGUGAAACCUCGACUCUCUUUCCUGUAUGCAUUUAUAGUAAAAGAGGUUUGUUUACAGAGGGAGAGUGAGAAAAAGAAAAUACAAUACAAUUUUAUUUGUAGAGCACAUUAAAACAACCAAGUUGACCAAAGUGCUUUACAUAGACAUUAAAAAACAAACAAAAUCAACACUCGGCAAAAUACACGAACAGACCAGAUAAAAGCAAUUAAACUGUAAUCAAUAAACAGACAACAUGAGAAUGGUUUGUGUUAAAAGCCAAAGAAAGGACUGAAGGCCUUGAGUUGAAUACUAAAAUAAUAAUUAAAAAAAAACAUAGUAUUAUCAUUUUUCCCCACUUCAAAGCCACAUAACAAAGAUUGACAAAAAGCUGAAUCUGAACUGUGCUCGCCUUCCCUUCCCCUCCCCUCACCCACACUGUGCUGGACCAUGUGCCCCAGCUGAAUGACAGGUACGGUGUUGGCUGCGAAACUCUCUGUGGCACCUCCCUCCACAGGGGACUCUGAACCACCAGCCCACAGGAGCGACUCCCACUGGGAGGUUCGAGGCCUUGCUCUUCCUCCUUUGGCUGAUCUCUGACACACCCAGUUUGUGCUCGCUGGCCUUGAAGAGACAAUGGUGGGGAUUUCUCUCUGGCCAAGCAGCGGGUUGUAAUUGAUGUGGCAGAGACGUCAGCACUAAUCUUUUGCUCUCUGACGGCCUCUCUGUAAGCCCCUCAUCCACUCCACUCAGAGACCUGCUGCACCAACCUCGGCAAACUGCUACCUAGUCAAUUAGAUCUACCCUGUCUGCUCCCUGUUUUGUGUAAAUAUAUCUCCUGUAGACACCCAACAUGUUCAGUUAUCUAUCCCGGCACAUUCAGGGUGAUUUCUUAAUACCACCGCAUGCCACUAUCAGCAAAUGGAAAGCUCGGCUGAUAUCUCCCACUGCAGUGGGCCGACUGAUUAUAUAUGGAAUAGAAAGUUGAUUUUCAUAUUUGUAUGGAGGAUUCCUAUCUAUUCUUACAUACCUUGGUACCCACAGUGCAUAUGGAUAUUGUAAUCACACACUUGUAUAUUGUGUGCUACACCUGGGGAUACCAUUACUAAUUCUUUUUUAAAGUGGUGUGAAUCAAGUCCAAUGAGAAGCAUAUCACAAACACAGCUGUGUUACGUGUUCACUCAUCUCUCAACAAUGUCAGCAAGUCUGCAUUAGAGGACAAACCAUGUGAUGGAAAGAGGUACUACUGCUCAUGACAGUCAGAAAUACAAGAAGGACAUCAGAGCUCUAUGUAAGACAUGACAAACUGUGUAUUGGACAAAAAUAUUCAAAACUCAUUGAGCAGAGCAGUCAUAUUUCAGGAUUUUAAGACAAAUAUUGCUCUUUUUCUUUUCCAGAAGAACAAUUGUCUGUUUGCCUUCACUGGUUGUGAUUACGUGAUGGAGAAAAUAGAAGUUAAUAACAAGAGAGAAUGGGAGGGUUGGGAUCUGAACUGAAAAAAUGGAUUUUGAUUGAAGUUUUGCACUCUGAGAGUUUUAAUUUGUCUGCCUUAGAAGGUGGCAAUUGCAUUUUGCAUGCACAUUUACUCGGAGGAGCAGUUCAAUAUAAAGGAAACACUGAGAUUUGCUUUCUUGCUGAGAAUAAGAUGAAGUGAGAAACCACAGUCAUGUAUGUAGAAAGACACCAAUGUAAAAUUCAGUCUGUUUCACUCCCAGUCAAAAACUUCUCACCGUAGAUUUUAAAUAAUUUCUAAAAUUAGGUACAAAUGAUAGGAGAAAUUUCCUGAAUGGAUGCAAUCAAUAUACAAACUUAACCUGACAAAACGAAAACGCGAAUGAGUCAAUUUACCACAAUGAUUUUUAUAGAAUUCACAGUUAAGUCAAAAUCUGCUUCUGAUUUGAGCCACCAUCACCAUGUCAUCUCUGACAUCGUCAAUGACUCUUAAAGGACCAGAACCCUUUUGCCCUUCUUUAGUGGAAAACAUUGAAGUGUGAAAGAAAUGCAGUGAAAUGUUUUUUAAAUGAUAACAACUUGGGCUGGGCGAUACGGGAAAAAGUUUAUCACAAUAUAUUUUUUCAUAUCAGCCGAUAUCGAUAUAUAUCAGGAUAUAAAAAAUGAAGUUUAACAGUACUUAUUGGUAGCAUGUCUUUAACAAUACAAUAAGCUACUGCAUCUGUGAGGUCUUUGUGUCUCUUUGACGUUUUGUUGUGAGGUGUUACGCUAGGGAAAGCGGACUGAAUGGUCGACUGUUUUCGACUGCAUAGGUGCCAUGUAGGGAUGCAGCGAUUAACCCAUAGUACUAUUAACCGCGAUUUAAAACGUCACGGUUAAUUAAUCCCACAGGCUCCGCAACACCGAGUGUUUGUUAUCACUCGCAAAAAACGGAUGACAUGCUAUUUUGGCGCAACCUGCUCGAAAGGAAAACAAAGUUACACCAGCGAUGCACCUGCUUUUAGUGCCGUGCUGUCAUAUGAUCAGGAGACACGUGACUACUCUGCUGGAAACAACGCAAGAAGAAGAAGAAGAAGAACGCGGCUACGCUUAAUGAGCUAAUGAUGGCAGAAGCACCUGGGAGCGACGCUCUCUUUCCGCCGAAAAAAAAAAUAAAGUCGGGAGUUUGGGAGCAUUUUGGUUAUCUUAAAAAUGACCAGGGGGUCCUUCAGGACGACGGAGCACCAAUUUGUAAAGCCUGCCGCAAAAAAGUUGCGGCUAAGGGAUCGAACACAUCAAAUUUAAUGCAGCAUUUGCGGGAUCAUCACCCGACUUCACACGCUGAAGUAAAGGUAACACACAAUGACCGAGUAAAAUUCCGUUUAGAACAAGUUACCAAAGGAAACAUUGAGUUGGUAGGGAGUCAAGUGUAAACGUGUCACAUACAAUCAGUGGCGUAGCAGUGAGAGUUGAGCUCUAAAUUCAAUGUAAACAAACAGCCGCAAAGCGGCAUGUUUUACCUGACUCCGGCACCAUCUGGCGGAGUCAAUGAAGUUUUCUUCUUCCCGUCUUGGGAUCUAAUUAAUUGCAUUUCAGUUAUUAUUAACACGGCAUAAGAGAUGUUUUACUUCAUUUAAUACUUUAUUUAUAAAUACUUUAUUUCAAACAUUUAAAAAUAACUUAAAUCAUUACUGCAAAUCCAAAGUUCAUGGCAUGUUUAUUUAUUUUAAUUUUUCUUAUUCACUUUUAGCUUAAGACUACCUCUAGUUCUGCACUUCAACAACCUACUGUGGCGGCAUCCUUUUCAAAGUCUGUGACCUAUGCUCCCUCUUCAAAACAAGCCCAGGAUUUGACUGAAGCUGUGGCCUAUUUCAUCUCCAAAGACAUGCCAUUUCAGAUUGUGGAAAAACCUGGAUUUCUCCAUCUAAUGAAAAAGACAGUGCCACAAUUUCGAAAGUAGCCAAAAAGUAUCUGUGUAUUCCUGCAACAAGUGUGCCUUCAGAAAGGGUGUUCAGUGCAAGUGGCCAUAUCCUGUCUCCUCAGCGGUCAAGACUGAGCGCCGACAAUGUGAACAUGCUCACAUUUUUGCACUAUAAUUUGAACUAAAAGGACUUGAACUAAAUGUGCUGUUUGUGAAAAGGGCCCUGAUGUAGAUGGGUUCUGUAGCCUUUGAGUACUUGUUCUGUUAAAAAGGCAAAAAGGUUUGCAUUUAAUUCCAAAGAUAUGGACCUUGUUUCUUUUUAUUUUCACUAUUAGAGUAUUAUUGUUUCAAAAGGCAGCUGUACAGCUUUCACCAUGUUUGCAAGUUCUCUACUCAGGUCAAUAAAUGCAGAAAAAAUAACAAACUGAAAAUACGAAAUAAUUUUGUAAUAUAGUUGAUCAAUCACUCCAUAUGUAUUAUUCUAAAGGGAAAACAGAUGUUUACGGAGCAGUUUUGUUUUAAAGGGAAACACAUAGCUAAUAUGUAGCUUCUAUUUGAUUCCAAAAAGACAAAGACACUGUUUAUUUGCUACUCUCCCUUUCAAAGGAGAGUUAGAUUUUUUUGUUUAUCUUUAUUUAUUAUUUUGUACUGUGGUGUUUGAUUACUGUUUUCUGCCAAUAAAUAGCACAUUAAGAACACUCAAGAAUGUUCAUGUAAUUUUAUAAAGUAGUAUUAGAAGUGUUGUGAAAUUUAUGUAUAAUAAUCGUGAUAAUCGUGAAACCGGGAUUAUUUCUCAUACUAUAAUCCUACAGUGAAAAUCUAUAAUCGUUGCAUCCCUAGUGCCAUGGGCUCCUUGCUCCGUUUGUAACCUUUGGCAUUGUGCGUGCUCUGCUGCGUGGCACUGCUUCAGGUGGUGAAAAAGAUUUGAGGUAUUCCCCGACUUCGCGAGAACAUGUACUCGAUAUAAUUUGCAGUGCAAAUUACUCUGCUUCAUGUCUAAUCUCAAAAAACCCAAUACCUCCACACCAGUGAUGUUUUAGUGCCAGAGUUGUUGACAGUGUCUUCAUCUGUUAAGCCUUCAUCUGCAUUUCUGCUGUCGGUUCCAUGUGUUAAAAUGCCAUAGUUGCCUGUAAUUCAGCACACGAUUGGUUCAGUGCGAAGCAGACCCGGAACAACUCCCAUUUUCAGUGGCUAUGCUUAUAGUCUACUAAAACAUGGCAGAAUGCCGACUAUUGAAAAGAUUAUUGACCAUGUUUUUGAUAUUGAGGGAAAUUAAUUUACCAUAUAUAUCAUUAUCAUUUUAUCACCCAGUUCUAACAACAUGAGUGAAAGUUUCCCCUAUUUUGUGUUACCUUAUAUGACCUUCCAGAGGUGAUUCAGGAUGGAUAUGGUUCUGGAAAGGUCUGGUACAAUACAGGAGGCUGACAUGAUUUGUAAGCAUGGUUCACUGAGAAAUUCCAGCAGUGAGGGAUUCAGUAUUUUUAUGAUUACUAUGACCAACUUUCUAACAUAAUGGCAGUGGCUGUUUUGCAAGAAGAAGGUCAAGUGAAGAAGAAAGGAGGGAGUGAAACGAUAUUAACCAGGAUGCAUGCAGACAUAUCAAAGAGGAGCCUGUAGAAAGCCCUCACAUGGUUAAUCUGCUAUGACUGUUGAAAUACCCAUGAUAAUGCUAGUAGAAUAAAGAAUUAUCGUUCUAAUAAACCAUGCUGUUUAUCUAAACUAUGGACAUUUGGAUAUAAAACAAGGCAGUAGGGGGGUCAAGAUCCCAUGAUCUGAAUCAGUUCGCAGUUGUCAGAUUUAAGAUCUCUGUGUAUUGUUUUGGAAAAUUACACUGCUGCGUAUUUUUUCUGUCAUUGAUCAUUUAUUAGUAUAGAAUUUAAAUCAUGUUGUAAAUAUUUCAGAAAAAAAAUUAUUUAGAAUCACACCUUUAACACACUUUCAUAAAGUAAGCUAGGCCUGGACGAUAUAGAAAAAAAGCAUAUCGAUAAAAAAUAAAUCAUAUUGAUCGAUAUCGAUAAUUAUCGAUAUAAUUAUUAUAAUUAUUUAACAUAUAUUUUAAUUGCAGCCCUGGAUGUUUUAUGCUAUUGCUUAAUGACCUACUUUUAAUAAAGAACACAUAAGCACUGAAAUCAAAUUCAAACCUUUAUUCAACCACCUUUUUAUUUAUUUUUUUACCACAACUGAAAGUUUUUUAAAAAAGAACUUAAAAAAAAAAAAAAAAAGAAAUCAACUUAAGUGGCCUGAGUGACGUCAGUAAAUACUGACAAACAUAAAGACUAAAGUGACCAGAAAAUCUGAUAAAUAAAUAUUUAAAUAGACUUUUGAUGAAAAUAAACAAAACAAACAAAUAUAUAAAUAAACAGAAUAGCUUUAGGUGGGAAUAGCAUACUACCAGUUUUAACUGUGUGAGAAACUGCCCACAGCCUGGUGUCUGAACACUGAAAUAUUUCUCCCGGGGUCGGGAGAUUUGUUUUUUUUAAUUAUCAUGUGAUUGACUUAAUACGCAAACUGAGCACGAGAAGCAGGACUUAUCCACGCCGGUGUUGUGUCGUAGAAUGCACCCCUGCCGAACGCACCCCCUGCUAGUAGCCAUGAUCCAAAUACUCGCGUCUUUGUAAAAUAUGAGCUCAUUUUCUUCCACUUUAAGAAGCUAAUGAGUGGACAGGAUGCAGGGGUGCAUUCUACAGCACAACACCGGAACAUAUUUCCUCCGCACCCUUCUCAGCUUUUCAACCCCUGACCCGUUUUCAUGCCUGAAGCGCUGUGUUUGAGAAAUACUUGCGGCCGGGCACUUCAUAUCGCGGGUCAAGAGUGGCUAGAAGCUGGUCGAAGCCAGGCUUUUCAACGGUAGUUAUUGGCAGUAUGUCCCUCGCUAUGGAGCAUGUCACUGCAUGGGUGAUGUCCUUAUGCCGCUUGGACGCUUUGUCGUAUUUUGGCAAGAAACGAAGUCCAGUUUGGUCUGCUUCACUUGCUUUGUGCUGGCAGCGGUUCCAGAGGAUUCCUCCGACGACGACGUGGAGUUGCGGCGCGGCCGACACAGCUCGUACUCCUGCGGGUGCGAUCGGUUUAGAUGGUAGAGCAAGUUGGUUGUGUUACCAGACUUGGUUUUUACUAAUUCUCUGCAAAUUUUGCAAACGACCGCUGUUCGCUUUUUGUCAGACUUGUAAAAACCAAAACAUUGCCAUGCUGGUGAACUACUGAAACCUUUUUUCGGGACAAUUUCCUCCGCUUCUCCUUGCUGUAACAUUAUUUCUAAUACACGUGCUGUCUGUUGUGGUUUGAGAGGGGCUGGGCUUGGUGCCGUAGCGUACCUGGGUCUGCGUUUGUGAUUGGUUGGGAGGAAGUAAUGACUGUAGUAAAAGCUACAUGAUAGGCUAUGAUGAAAAAGAAAGGGAAACUGUGUUUUUCUAUCGAACUUUUUAUCGACCCGUUUUUUUUCUAUCGCACCACACGUCUAUCGAUCGAUAUAUAUUGUUAUCGAAUUAUCGUCCAGCACUAAAGUAAGCACAGAAAUACAAACAAAGUACAAAGUACAAAGAAUCAAAAAUAGCGUAUUAAAAUACUAGACAGUCAAACAAGCAAAGACGCAAAGAAACAGCAAAGAGACACUUUUUGUUUGAGCUGGGGAUGGAAAGAAGGUUAGGUUAGUUGAUCUGAAUGGCAUGGAGAGCCAGGUGUCAUUGCAUCCCUAUAAUACUAGAUGAGAAAAGUUCUCUACUAAAAAUUAAAAAGUGAUUCAGCAUCAAGAGGAGGUGUAGAGUAGAUAAAUCUCUUCUCAGUGGUAGAGUCAGCUGUCUCUCAAGUAGAGGGUUGUCAGUCUGAUCCCAGCUCCUGCAGUCUCAUGCCUAAGUGUCUGUGGGCAAGAUACUGAACCCAUGCACAUUUAGGGUAGUAGUACAUGCUGACGAUCCCUAUAGCACUAUAGUAUUCCCCAGUGUCUGCAUGUGUACAAAUGGGUGAAUGUAAACUACAAUUAACUAAAACAAGCAGUAUUUAAGUACAAGUCCAUUUACCAAAUUUCUGUGGAUUAUGACAAAACUAUGAGAGUAAUUCAAGUUUGUUUAAACAUUUAAACAAAAUCAGCUUUUAAUGAGUCAUGAAGAAACUCAAAGCUCUGACUGGAAUUAAAGCUCUUUCUGUGAAUUAAAAACAGCUGGAUGCAGAGUGUCGAGAUGCUCAUCACAAUCUCAUCUAUGAAACAACACACCAGCAAACCGUGCUGACCUCUCCCCAUGGCCUCACUCAUAAUAGAAACACACUGUCAGAACUAAAGGAGUCUGCGUCACAGAAGUCUUCUUGAUUAAACUGAGUCAUAUAAAUGAAUAGAUGCUGGUUAAGUUUUUUUAUUUAUAAACUUAGAUUUGAAUAAUACACACACACAAAAAAAAACUUUGGCACAAAGAAAUAUUCAUGUUUACUCUGUUAGCAAAUAUAAGGCUUAGGUUUACGCGCACAAAAAUUGACUCUAAAACAUAAAGUCUAAUUUUCUUGCUUGAGCAUUUCACUGCCAAAGAAAACCUGAUGAGUAGUGUACAUUUUUAAAAUAUAUAUAUAUUCUAAUUGAGUUGUUUAUCUAAAGAAAUAUGCCUCACAUACAUGAUAGACUUACUGUUUCUAUCCCAGAACAAUGCUGUCCCUUAUGAUAAAAAUCUUGAAUAGAUGAUGAGUAAUUAUUUUGUGCUCAACCUCCGAUUUCUUUCUUAGUUAAAGUCAUGUCUCAGGAUUAUGAGAAAUAUCUCCAUCUUACUGUUGAAACAGAAGACAUACUGGAGAUCUGUAUUAAGAUACCUUGUAUCAGUCUUUUCCAUGUCAGUGUUUAUCAAAAUGUCCAAGCAUGAGUCAGAAACAUCAUCAAAUGUCUGAAAAUAUAAUAGGUGCAAAAUGUCAGGGGAAAUAGCCCGGUGUUACAGGAAGCGAUGCCAUUUCCAUAAAUGUUUAAUUGAUUGUAAUCCUUUGUUGAGGAGACAUUUGCACAAUGCAUGGGGUUCACACCGAGCAGGAUAUUGAAAUAUUGAAGUAAAAUAAUAAUUCUGAUCCAUUUGUAGCUUAAUUGUCAGAAAACGCCUGAUAAUGGCCUUUUAUUUAGCGUGAUUAUCUAUCAUACAUUUAAAGUGGCAGGGGAAAAAAUGAAAGUAGUAAUUGGAGGCUGUCACCGAAUAUAUAUGUAGUCAUAGUCCCUCAGAUAUGAUUAAGCAGCUGAUAAAAAAGUUGAAUUGUUAACAGCAGAAUACCUGCCACGGCCGCUCUGAAAGCUUUAAUUGUUUUCAUAUGGCCAUUCAUUAGUGCUGUUGAUUAAGUCAUAUGUCAGCAGUGAAUUUGCUCCUGAGCUGUCAGGCCAGAGGGAGGCUGUGAAAGGGACGCAGCGAUGGUAGUCAUCCUCCUCCCCACGCCAGACAACCAGCCACCCUGCCACCUCCGUACGGAGCGGCAAACCCCCUCCCAGUCAGGUUUGAGGGCAACCAUCUUUGCUUGAGCUGCUCUGCUCGCUGCAGCCAUGACAAGAUUCGCAAUUCUCUCCCUUUAUUUACACACCAUCGCCCUGGCUCCACGUCACCUCAGAGUGGUGUGGUCGCGCGGUCGCGGCUGACCCCAGGGUAAGGGCUGUCUCAACUGAUCCAAGCGGAGCCUGCUGGGGGGACAAGGCCCCGGUCAUAUCAUACAAAUGUAACAACAGCAGCAUGCCACCAUGCAAAAUUACCCAGAGAAAUUAAGACAUGUGUACAGUUUGUGGUUAUAAAAGGAAGUUUGCUGUAAUACAUGAUGUUCAAAAUAUAUGAUGCUUCUUCUUAUUCUCCUGUCUUUUUAUACAACAUGUGGGUCUGAGGCACAGAAAGAGAAAUACAUGACACCUUUAGCAAUUGCCUGGAUGUUGACUACUUUUGUCACAGCAGACAGUCACAUAAGAUGCUCCACUCACAAGCAAUGUAUUACUAAACCAAAAAGCUGCUGGAGGUGUCAUGUAAAUACGUAACCACAGUUAAAGUAAUAGGCUAUAAAGUGAUCUUUAAGUGGAGUUUUAAGCACCCCCAUAAUGGCUUUGGCUGCCUUUUAGCAGACCAUGUGACUCCCCCAGAGUAGUGAUUAUGAGUCACGGAUGAAGAGGUCUUGUGUGUAGGUCAGCCUGUAAGCCUCACUUUCACCUGCCAAUCUUUACUUUCCUCGAUACUCAGAGAGCCUUGUUCUUUUUACUGUUAACUGUCUUACAGCAGGUGGUAUCUGGUAAAUUAUGUCUACAAAACACUUUGACAAAACUUGGGGAUAGCCUUGUGGAAUUCCUACUGUGGUGAAAAGCCUCUAAAAUCGAGAGCGAAUUAGAAAAGAAAAUACAUGAAUUAAACAGCCGUGUUAUUUGGCAAAUUGUUGCACAGUAAUAGGGAGGGACUAUAUGUGUAUAAUAUAGAUACAGAUAAGCUCUUUCCAACAGGGUUUCUAGAGCAGCAUUCCUGGCUCUGCUGUGGCUGUUUUUUUUUUUGCCAUAAAACACCAUCACAAGGACACUGAUGCAUGGUGCUUUCUGAAUUUUGUAUUAUGUGAGAGGUCUUAGGGGCUAGUUUCAGGAAGUGUUCUUAAUUUCACAGGGUUAAGGAACAGCAGAUUCUCAAGGAAUACAGAUCACUUAGCACAAGCCGUCGUGCACCCCGGAGCCGGCGAGCUCUCUCCCGAUUUGUUAACCACAUCCUCGGGGCCACUGAACCGUUGAGACUGCCAAGGUGAACGUGCAGUCCCAGAAGGAGGCUUUGCUGUCAUAGAUCAGUGAAACAGUGAUUCAGCUUCACCCGUGUGUUUAUGUGGGUUCACUUGUGCAUGUUCUUUUAAGUGUAUUAACCCUGGCGGUGUUUGCGUGUGCGUGUACAUGUAUGAAGCGUGCUCCGCCUGUGUGAAAAGCCCCUCCAGCCCUGAGGUCCGUGAGUCUUCAGGCCUUAUGAUCAAAGUGGUGCCAUCUGAACUGUGCCACAACUGAUGUCUAUAUCAAAUCUCGCAUGAAGACGGACAGGCGUUGAAAUAGAGGGCUCUUUCCUAAACAUCUGGGCCUCUAUUUUAAAAAUCAAGAGAAUUAGCUAGAUUUAUUUCCAGAGACUCUAAUGAAAAAGGGAUGAAUGUAGCAUGACCAGAGGAAAGUGAUUGCCUUUUCCCCCUUAGACCAGACAUCUAAAACAAACAAGAGUGUGUUAAACCAUCGGAUGGUUUGUACAAGAAUCUGCCCAUUAUUUGCCCAAACUAAAAGGAAUUGUACAUGUAUCAGCGAUAAUCCGAUCAUCAUGCUGCUCCUAAGCUUUUAAUUUGAUUAAGUGUGUGAAAAUUGAGGGCAGAGAGUCUCUUGGAGGAUAACAUCUCAGACAGCAUCUCCUAAUUAGUGCUGUAAAUUUACAUAUGGAUUCCUGUUUAAUGUUUAACCAGUCCUUAAUCCAGCCCGCUCUGUGAUGUCUGCGGUCAGAAACAUCCUCCUCUGUCACAUGAUGUGAUUAUUCCCAGUACUCUCUGGCUUCUUCCUUUUUCUUUUGGGGAAAAAAACGGUUACAAUUACUGAAGCUUUCAAAUUGUUCGACUCAGGAAGCUUUUUAGUAACGGUGGACAAAACAUGCUCAGUUUCCCUCAGGAGCUGAAUAGAGCUUUUAAGGGGCUUUUGGCCUGAAUCCUCAAUAACCAGAUUAACACUAGACAACCAUUAUCUCCAUUAUUGUCUCUUUACAGCACACGGUCCCUGCUAUUGAAAUCGAUCAUCACGUCCCUUGAGCUGUGCUGAAAAAUGACAGAUUAAAGUGAUCAUGCAGUUCAUUUUAAAAUACAGAUAAUUAAGAUACCGGACGGAUUCUUUGUCUAUUUCUGCUUGAGGGUCUAUCGACUUAAAUCUUAUCUGCCCUUGGUGCGACAAAAUUUAUUGGAAAACAAGCGACACCUCACAAUGCACGGUUCAAUUUACAGACAUUCAGCAAGCUUACACAUCAGUCAAUCAAUAGUUUUGGAUUAAGUGUUACUGGUGAGUUAUAUGAGGUAAUAUAGAGGUGGGAGAUUUUUCAUUACUGUAUGUUGUCUAUAAAGUUUUUUUCUUUCGCCUUCCUUUUUAUUUCCUCUAAUCCUCACUCCCUCACUGUUUGUUUUUCCAAAGCCUUAUUUUCUUUCCAUUUUUAAUAAGCUGAACCAAACCAUUUUCAGUUUUUUACAGCCGGUUUCACUCUUUCAGCUUUGAAUAAAUGGCGACUUUAUUUCCAUGAAAUUCUCAAAUGACAUAGAUUUUACUUUUGCAUAAAAGCAUGAAGAAUGCGCCUAAUAUCGGCCGCAUUCAUCUGCUAAGUGGACAUUUGCAUGGGUGCGAGGGGGAAGAUUGGGGGAGAGAGGGGGAACCACUAGCCUCCUGGGGUGACAGCGGUGCAGGGGGAUGACAUGUGACAGCUGUGACAGUACUGAAGGAGGGGGGGUGGGCAGGCAACUUGCUGCGCCCCCUGAUCCAAUUACGCCACACGGCCCCCUGUCAGACCCAGCAGCUUGACUCCAGCCACUCCGAGGACAGUAUUGAUCUCUUGUCAGGAGGACCAGUUGCCCUCCCUGACGAUACAGCGCCACUGCCAUCACACCCCCACUUUCACCAGCCAUCUGAGCUGCUUCUGCUCCCCUACCAACCACCCUCUUAAAUGACUAGUAAAAUCAGGUUAUGGCAUUCAGGUUCGGGAAAGAGAGAGAGAGAGAGGAGGUCAAGGGUGCUGUGUGCUAACUACUUCCAUAGCUAGCAAGGAAGUGUGUGCAACAUCCUGGGAGUGGUGGUGGUGAUGCACCUGUCCAGCUGCUAUAUGUACAGUACUUCCCUAAUGGUCUGAGAGGAUGCCGCCUCUCCUGGGUUGUAUGAAAGCGUUUGAUUUGAGAUGAUGAAAAGGCCAUUGCAAUUAGUAGGCCCCAAGUCUUUUUUUUUUUUUUCCGCUGGAGCUCGGACGGUGGAGACAGUGGCAGCUGCCAAUAACUUCAGCUUACAGAGAACGGACAAUUAGGCCGAGGCCUGUUACUGCGGCGAGUCCCACAUCUCCAGACCUUUGCACCAGCCCUACCUCCAAGCAUCUGCAGGUCAAUAGGCAAUGAUAUUGUGUGGAGCAACAGCUUGGAGCAGAGGUUAAUCAAACCGAAAGCACACACACAUCACUUGCAUUCAGCUUUAUUAUUCUUGCCACAAAGGCCAAGUGCAGGAGAGGAGGGGAGAGAGGGAGUAUCAACUUCUUUCUGCAUCACUGGGGGAGAAGAUCUUAGUAGGUUCUCAUUAAAUUUAAUGUACAUUGACAUCCCCUGCUCUAAAACACAUAAAAAACACGUCAUAAAUGAUGCUUUUCUUAAAUAUAUUGACUUGAGAAAUAGUUACUACAGAACUCCCCUGUUCCUCUGUAUGUUGCUCUUCUGGAUUGUUACCAUUUACUGUCCAUGGCGAGGCAUGCUAUCAACAGUCCCUAGAAAAACACAAAACACUCAGUAUCUGGCAAAUCAGUGUGAUCAACUGAUGCUGUGUGUGUACAGCAGCAUGAAAUUGGGCACAAUCUGGAAAGAAGCUCAUAGUCACUUUCAUGGUACAUGCAGUGUGUAUCCAAUGCAAAGUGUGAACAUUACCCGGGUCAGUCAUGCAUUCAGUUGUGACACAAAAGAGGUUUGGUCAGGGGUUAUGCAGAGGUAGACAAACUUGUCUAACUGGUUCAAAGAAGAAAAAAAACAAGGCUUUGCACAGACAUUGGUUUGAAAUUUUCAAUAUCCACCUGUCAGUUUUGUUGUUGAUGAUGACUACAGUCUGUCUUCAUCUUCAGGGUCCCUGGGAUGUUUUUUUCCAAAAGUAUCAUCUAUGUGUGCCAGAAAACCAAAAUCCCAACAAUUAGGGGACCCUGUGUUAGCAAACCAUUUGAACCCUGAACCCUUUCAGCAAUGUCUAGCUGAGAUAUAAGAUAAGAUAUACCUUUUCUUAAUCCCACAGGGGUAAAAUUCCAAAAUCUAUUUAAGAUCUCUGUAAGAUCUUCCCUCCAAUAGGGAUUGUCUGAAUGGCAGCAUAUUUUGCUUUAAAGCCCUAACUUAUUGCAGUAAUCAUGCCUUCCAUGUGUAAGCCGUCCAUGCCACUGGUCUUUGAGCAGCCCCGUCUUGAAUGCACACUUGAAUUGUGUGCUGAAGACAAAAAGGUGGACCCACUACUCUUUAGACAUGAAGAAAUGGUUUUCAAAAAGGAUGUGAAAUAUAGUUUUCCACUUCAUCUCAGUCCAUCUCAACUUGGCCUACAGUUUAAGCCUUCAUUCAUGGAUGUAGUGACAAACCCGUGUUGAAAGACUGGGUUUUAGUCUAUGCAGUGAUUUCCAUUACAGAGUUAGGUCUGUUUUUAAUUCAGUGCUGGGGGCAAGAAGAAAACAGCCAUCCAGUCCUGGCUUUUGGUUUUGUCUCUUUGGUACAGAGAAUUCUCCAGAUUCUGAAUCAUUUGAUGUGAAGGGGUAAUGAAAACCCAAAAUUCCUCGCAAUUUAAUGCCGAGGAACAUUUGACUGAAUUUGUUGAACUAUUUUAUUUGCCCACACAGUCUCUCACAGAGCAGUGAUCUUUAUUUCAGAGAGAUUUGGCCUCUCUGAUUUGCUCUUUUCAAAUGUAGUAAUGUUAGCUUCCCUGUUACAAAUGAACCUAUUUAGUCAAGAGAUGUUUUUUAAGGUGUCCUUUCAGCAUUACACAACUUUUGCCGUGUUUUGUUGUCUCUUUUCUAGUUUUUUUAAAAAUGUGUUGCUGGUAUUGAAAAUAAAAUGAGCUCUAUUUUCAAGUUGUAUUUGUACCAAAGGAUUGAAGUGUCUUGUAAACAUGUGAAACAGAAAUCCAUCUCCUAAAACAUGGUGACUUUUCUAAAAGCUGAACUUUUUAGAAAAACAAAUAUCGAUUUAUAUAUAUAUAUGUCUUUAUAUUUAAUAUACUAACUUUCAACACACUUCUAGUGAAAUUGUACAGCAGUAAAUUGAAUACUCCAAAGUUCAGGUUUUGUUUUCUGGCGUUUGAAAUGGGGAGAGAAAUGGCUCAUUCUUCAAGCUCUUCAAAGACUUUUCAAUUUCAGCAUCCAAUUUCCACAUGUUUCCCUCUAAUGCAAUACUUAGGUAGUGAGCAAAAAUAGACUGUGUCUGCACCACUGAGUUGUGAUAGGCUGUUGUGUUACUGCCAGACUUCUGUUCAGCAGGAGUGCAGCUUUUCUGAGCAAAAGUAAUCAUUCAUGUAAUUAAUCUAGAGGAAACUUGCGAGCAAAAUAACCCAGAUCUAUCGUGGAAACGGAAAGCUGCUCCUCUGUGUUAUUUGAUUUAAUGCCUUAUGGGACAAAGGAAAGGGAUAUGGGCAUGCUGCUUUUUUCUUCAGUGAUAUAAAUCAAGAGCGGUGCUAUGUAGAAGUUAUGUAGAAGACAGUUUUCAGGCAAAUGGAGCUACUGGAUUUAUCCCAAAAAUGUUAUGUCAGAUUAAUUUCCCUGCCUGGUUUACAGUAGUCAAAAACAAGCAAAGAUAUCAAUCUAGCUGAAUUAUUAAAAAACUUUCAAUUUAUUGUGCUAAAUCAAAACAAAAGUAAUAUGAGGAAAGUAAGAGCAGGUCUAAAACAUAGACUUCCAUGAUUUAUAGAGACCCAACAGUUAUCAAGCACUUGGCAACAAUUCCCGCUUAUUUUCAAUGAGCCUAAAAAAGAAGGGUUUUUUGUUUUUUAUCUCUUUACAACUUUGAAUAUCAGGAGAACCUCAUGUUAUGGUCAAGUUUGUUGUUAAUAUGGAUAAAGGGAGCUAGUUUGACCUUUUCCAACCAAGUUCAACAAUGUUUUUUUUUUCUGUUACAUGUCAUAUGAGGGGAAUAGCAAAUGUUCAUAUGUGAAUCUAUAACGUAAAGAUGACAUGACUUUCAAAACUUACCUCACUGGAAGGUUUAAAUAAUAAAAGGUACAGUAGCUGUGGGUGUGUGAGAGUGGGUGGUUGUGGUUUCUGUUCUUAGCUGAGCUUGGUAAUGAACGGCUGCCAUCUUUGUUAUGGCCUGUUGAUUAAAUGGAGGCUGUAUCUACAAUCAGCUGACAUUUAAAGACCCAAUCAGAAGCCAGACUUCCCCGUCCUCAGUGAACAGUGAAGGUAAUAUAAGUCUAAGUGUUGUUGACAGCUGGACAGAUGGAAUUGGUGAAGAAUUGGAUAGAUAAGCAGAGUCAAUCACUGCCUUUGAAUUAAUCAAAUAUUAUUUAUUUCCAUCCCAUUCAAAGCUGCAUAGUAUCCUAUUCAUUGGGACCUUGUUUGUGCCCUUAUCCUACUGCUCUGAAACUCUGCUUUCUUACACACUUCUGGUGCCAAUAAAGUAUGAUCUCAGACAGAACCAAGAAUCUACUACUUACAACAAAUAUUAAAUAUGUACAUACAAUUCAGUGUGACUUUGGAUUUCAUCAUGAAGGAAAGAAUCCACACAUUUGAAAUGCUGAUAUGUUGUUUAAUUCUUCCACGAGAAAUAAGCCGCUCUUUGUCAUCAAAUACUCUAUUCAAAUUUGUUUAGUCAAAGUGAAAUACGCUCCUCUGGAGUGAUGGCCUACAUGUGACAAAUAUAACAUUAUCCAACACAGAGUAGCUUCCUCUCAGGGACAUAUCACUGCAGCACAGACCAAAUUGGGACAUUGCUUCCCAUUUGGAAAGUGCAAUUAGGAGUGUUUUCAGACUUUCCAGUGUCAUCUGUGAACCAACACACCACUAACACUUCUAAACCAAAGAUAUUUGUCACACCUACUGUAAUGCACCAUCAAGUCUCUGAAGCGUCGGCUCCUCUGGAGGGGCCCAGGAGGGGAAUCAAGGAAUCUGUCGGGUUAAUCCACGCAGUGAAGAUUCCUCCUGUCAUCUCGGCUCUCUUUUACCACUGGCUUUUAAAAGCCAUUUAAAGGCAGAAAAGUGAACGGGACAGACAAGCUUGACAGCGACUCUUGAAAGAGCAUCUGUCUCCUUUAACACUUAAAUAUACUAUGAUACUGUCUUUUACACAUGAACUUAAUCUUAAUUAAUGAAUUGAUAUAUUCUGUCAGUGACAAAGCCAAAUUAUUUAAGAGAUGCCAGAAGCAAUAUGUCCACUCCUCCUAUAAGGAGCAUGCCAAGCUUUGCAUCACUCUGCAUAAUCCUUUUCUUAAUUAGACAUGUGCUUGAAAUUAUAGAGCAUCAUUAGAAGUGUUGAUCUACAGUGUAAUCCUAAUUAUUUUUAUGUAGUUAGAAAAUGAAGAAUACACAGUCCAUCCUAAAUCACUGCAUUAACUCUGCCUGGCUUGACUGUCACAUCUGUAAAAGAAAUGAGAGAGUUUCAUGUUGAUAAGAGCACUGGUUUGAGUGCUGCUGUAGCUUAAACUUUAAUGUAAAAUCACUGCAGGGUUUUGACUGAAAUACAACUCCAUUGCCACUGCUGCUUGGACACUUAGAAACAUCAUUCUCCAACAAUACAGAGAUUUGCUUAUGCAUUUUUGACACCAAAUAAAAAGAAUAACAUAAUAGACACUCAAUAAUAAAACAAUAAGACACUCUUGAAAGUAUGUUUCAAGAAAGUAAAGUAAUCUAUCUCACAUGAGGAAAAAGAUGUACAUUUAUUCCAUCUUUUCCUCAUGCUGUAUACUACCUUACAAUUGUUCAUUAAUGAUUCCCAGUAAAUUCCUUAAAAUGGUAAUUUGUCAUCCUGUCACUUCAUUUGUGACCUAAAAUUCCUCACUAGAGGCAUCAUCAAAUAAAUUAAUCACUACCCAGGAUCCAUCUCUCCCUUGUGCGUGCUAUUAUACCCGGCUCUCUUGUGUUUCUCUUCAUUUACAUAUAUUUAAUGGCCCAGUUGUGCUAGGUUGUGCCAUGCGACUAGCUCAGCUCAUGUCAGGUGAAAUAUUCCGACUGCCUCAGACUUUAACUGUGCCCAACCAUGUCUUGUUCAUUUUCCUUGAAUACCCUAAACACAGGAGAAUAGAGUGAAUUAGAGACAUUUUAUGAAACUGUAAAAUCAAAAGUGCACAUUUUGCAGGUUUCUGGUUGGGGAAUUACGCUAAUAAGACUGCACACUUUUAAGAAGCAGAGAGAGACAGAUCUUUUUCUGACACACAAAUCUGAUUUUUACAAAAAAAAAUUGAAAAUUGCUUACAGCAAAAAGAUCAGAAAAUUAGAUACACUAAGUUGUCCACACAAUUUGGUUUGACUUAAUUGUAUCUCAUUACAGCACAUGUGUACAGUACAUUACCCACCAGACAGAUCGCUUUGCUAUGUUCCUCAGGGGAAUUAUUGUGCCAUGUUGAGUGUGAAGCUAUGACCAGGCGCAGUGCUGAAGCCAAAGAGAGAAAUUUUAGAGCCAGAAUGGUCUAAGUAGGUUGAAACAGAGAUUCAAUUUAUCAUGUUUAUUAACCAGCAGGGACAGAGGGAAUUUUAACGGCUCUUUGUUUCACCUAAAACUUUUAUCUCCUGUCUGGUUGUCUAUAUGUAGUAUAGUGUGUUAAAUACAGUCAUCUCUGAAGUUUCAUUUUCCCACUAAACCAUUUUUUCCCUCUCUGUUACAAUAACCGUGUCUGUAAGACAUGUGACAAGAAAAACAAGAAAAUUAAAGCAGAAUGCAUAUUUUCUGUAGAUUUUGGGCUUUUCUUUUUUCCUGUUCAUCAUGCGUUUAAACACCUCAUUCCUCCUGUAUCUACAAUAAAUCCAUAAUGCAUAAUCCAUCUGUGGUAGCCACACUUUUGGCUUCUAGAUAAAUUUGAUAGCUUAUAACCAAUACUUAAAGGUUCUGGAUGCAGGGUAUUUUCAGCUGAUCCCAGUAACAACCUGCUCUUGAUGGCUGAUUUAAACAAGAUUACCAAGAUAAAUCUCUUGCAUUUAGUCUGAAACAGUUCGCAGUUUUUGCACACUUGAGGGUAGGGCUGCACGAUAUAUCGUUUGAGCAUCGUCAUCACGAUGAACUUGUGCACGUUGGCACAUUGCAGAGCCUGCGAUGUUGGAGGCGAAUGAACUCAUCUAAUUUCAAGGGUCGCUGACUGAGAUACGCUGCAUGUGCUGUGCAGCGAUCCACCAAUCACAUUUGUCCUUUCCUCAGUUGCCAAUCGGACUACCCUGCCAGCGGUCAAUCAAAAUCAGAGAGAAGGGAUCCACGCCCCUACAAAUGGAGCGAGUGGUGCUGCCGGUGUUAUGACUAGAAAUGCGUGUCCACUGAGAAUUACUUUCGGAACAUUACUCAUGACUGUUUAGCCCAAAAAAUUAGAGAUGUAUGGGUUUUAAAUUGUACAUUUCCAUGGACCACUCUACCAUAAGCAGUGCGCGUUUUGCGAGGUGCAUGCAAUUCUUGGCUGACAUGUGUUUCUCAGCACAACACCGGUAACAACAACAACAAUUGCAAAAUGAGCAACGAACAAGAGAAAACCACCGAAAAUGAAGAUUUGUUGCCAAAAAGAAAAGGAAAGUCGGUUAUCUGGAAUUAUUUAGGUUACAAGAAGCAUGAUGUCAACCAAAAUAUGUGUUCUGUGGCAGUGCCUUUCAUCUGCACAAUAAAAGCAAGCUAAAAAUAUCUCUAAGACAGACAGAAGCUAUUCUACUAACAUUCACAAAAAGAGGUUAGAUCAGUGCAGGUUAACUGUCCUGAAGAUUUCAGCAGUGCAGUAUAGCAUACAGUGCUAUUCAGGUCAUUCCUGUAUUUUUUAAUAUCGCAAUAUGUAUCGCAGGGGUACAAAAAAUUGCAAUGUUCGUUUUUUUCAAUUUCAUGCAGCCUUACUUGAGGGUAUGAUUAAGUGUGCCAGAUGCACAUUAAAACUUUUAUAUGCAAAACGCUGCUGCUAGCUGCAAGUGCCGCCACUUCAUAUUUCUUUAGAUUUCUUUAACUUUUCAGGUGACUUAAAAGAUUUUUUGUGUAACAAUCCUUAGUUUUCCUCCUUUUAACAGCAUGUUUUCCAGGCAACAAUUGUGCCGCCAUCAUUGUCUGGAACAGUGAAACACAAGCCCACCAGUGAUGCCAUUUUUACUCUCUUGUCAGCUUGUUGCAGCUGUGCUGGUUCAGUAACGUAACCCUAGGUAAAUGAAAUUAAUGAAAGUGAUUAAUCACCCAAAAUAACUAUAACUUUAUUGUUUUUUUUUUUUUUUUUUUUUUUUAUGCUGCUAGUCCAGGUCGAAUUGUCCAUUAGUUUUUAAGUAAGCACUUAUUGUAACCAGGAAACAAGUGUGUGUGGAAGGCAACAUGCAUCCUGGAAUCCAUCAGCAGUCACUUAAUGAUUUUGCUAUAGACGACUUGAAACAGAUUUUUACAUACUACUGAAGAUGUUGUAUUGCACUCUAAAAAGUCAUUUUUUACUACUAUACAAAGUCACCAACAGUCAAAAAAGUAAUCAUCCCUACCAAAGGCUAAAAUAAUCUUCAGACUAAAGCCCCUGAGUUUUAGCUUGGGUUGCUGAUGCCUAGCUUGGCCAGAUGUAUGCAUGCUGAGUGAGGGUGUAUUGUGUGUUCCUCUGAGAUGUGCUCAGUUCCUCUGGUAAAAUCACAGCAGCAUUGAAAGUCUGAUAUUUUGUGGAGGGCUAAUAUUUUACACACAACAACAACACUUAGCUGUGCAUUGUUUGUGUUUCUCGUUGAAUAAUCAUGUGAUGAAAGAUCUCGAGUACCCUGAUGCUAAAACAUAGUCCUGGUGUUAAAAAGGGUCUGUUGUAAAUUGUGAUAGGGUGUAUGCAAAUGAAUUACAUUGUUUUCUGAUUUUUUUUCUUUGGGUUCAUAAGAAAAAAAAAGAAGAAAAAAAACAUCCCAAUUAUUUUUAUGAGCACGUCAUGUUUGAACUUCCCUGCUCAUUAAGAGUCCCUAACACUAGAGGACAUGUGAAUGUGCGAGCAGCAUUACCAGAGACAACAACAAGCCCACGUCACACAAGGAUCCUCUCUCACCCAGCCACCCUGUUAGAAGAACCUCACAGCUCGUUUCAAAUGAAAUUAGCAUAAUUAAGAAUUAACAUGCAUUAAUUGUUGUUCUUAACGCAAACUGAAGCCAAAUGUGUCACUUGGUGUAGAGGAGCUGCUAAAUGCUCUGUCACCUCCUGCUUAGGGGAGUGGAAACACUCCAUGAGCUUGUGAAAGAAGAAGCGCUCCUACAGUGUACAUGAAGCUCUGUCAGUGACAGAUAUAUAAACAAACAUGUCUUCAGCUGGAAGGCUGGGCUGACAUGUAUGCCUGUGAGUUAAAGGAACGGCGCAGCGUAUUGAUCAAGGGAGUUUGUGAUGUUGGAAGGAUGGCUUUAUGACAAAGGAAGAGAGAACAGGGGAUAUAAGAAGUGCAGAUUGGUCUAACCAGGGCUCAACCUGGCAAUAAAGUCUGGCAUUUGGAGAGAGCAGAACGCUCUCAGGGUUAUACUGUACGGUGCCACUUUGAGUAGUGGAGGAGCUGUCCUUUUCGCCUUUACUUUGUGGUCUGUCAGAUGGAGGGGUGAUCAAAGGAGAUCAAAAAGAUGUUUUUUCAAACCCCAGAUGAGGACUGUGGAUGUACCAAUCGUAUACCACUGCAGGGCCUCUGCUGUUGUGGCUUUAGAGUGGGAGUCCUGGUGGACCCUUGUCUUUUUAAUAUCUUGAAUAAAGUCAAAGGUAACAGGAAAAGGAUGGCUGCUCUGUUGGAUUACUUGAUGUAUUUCUAAGGAAAUUUAUUUGCAAUCAGCACUGACAUAAAUGGACCGUAUAAAUAACCAUUAAUAACCUAAUAUUAUAACUAUUAUAAAAAAAAGUGUAUAAUCCCUGCAGGUGUAUUUAGAAAAUGUUCAACUGCCCCUUCUAUUAAAAUGCCUCAUAGGUGCAGGUAUCUGUAAAGACACUUUAAGUCUCUUUAGUAACUAUUGGUGUUACUCCUAAAUCGCUUUAAAUGCAACCCAAUCUGUGUCAUCCCCUUUUCCACCAAAAGCAAGGGUUACCACUUUAGAAAUAACAUAAAGAUACUGAUCAUUCGCAUUGAAGACGUUUUUGAUAGUUUUUGGUGCAAUCACUUAUCACUGCCUCUGCUUGUAGUCCUAUAAAGGUUAAUUUUGCUUUUAAAACCCCUAUGAGGAGUUUUGUGCUUAUAACAAAACAGACUGAUUUUAACUGAUUGUGACUUAAAAAGGCAAACAAGACUAGUCAAUCCCAUAUUGUACUUUUUUUCAUACAUAUGAACUACUAUGAGAGAGUUGGUGUUGGUGAAGAAAAAAACUUUUUUAAUUCUUCAGCAGCAAAUAUUCAAAGUGAGCGAUCCAUUUAACUGCUUAAAGGGAGCAUUUAUUUCAUCUUGAGCUGUCAAAUUGAGGAUAGGCAAAAUAAUGACAGAGAAAUACCUUAAUUUGUAAACCUUAUCAAUAAAUACAGUUCAUUUACAUGUCAUCGUCCAUUUCCAAAGCUGUUCAAAUAUGGGAUUUAUCCACGUCAUCAGCUCUAUGACUAAGACUUCUUUGGAGAAGACAUUAACCUAAAGAUGUCAUCCUCUUAUUUUUUCAGUCUUGUGUUAAGGUAGCUCUAUUCCCAGCAUGACAAAACCAUGCUUUUAUUUUGAAGGGUUAAGCUACUUCCUGCAGAUGGUUAGCUGUGAACCUGGAUGAAAACAAUGAAAAGAACGAUGUAAUUUAAGAACAUUUAAUUGAUUUGUAACCUGAAGAGACAAACGCUGUGAGGUUGUUUUCAGAUGUACUGUAAACCUUUAGAUGUUUAUCCCUCCCUCCAUUUAAUAAUGUGCGACAACCAGCACAGAGGACUACUCGUAUAAAUUCACAGCAUAACCUUGUUUUCCAAACGAUGGUUAUUGUCAAUACCAGUGUAUUGGGACAGCCCUAACUCUUUCUGCAAAUGUGCAGGACAAGAUCAGCAAAGAGAAGAGUUCUCACUUUGUUCACAGAAGUGACACACACAGAAAUGUCCCCGAGUUAUUAUUAGAAAAGCAUAAAACUUCCUCGGUUUGUCAAUAAGCUGAGCUAUUUUUGACAGAAUUAAUAUCAACAGAGUAUAUCAGUAUGUGUUUAUCCAGGUUUUAUGAACAUAACUUACUUGACAGAGUUUACUGUUGCUGUUUUAGUCACAUAGAAAAGCAUUCACUCAGCAUCAGGCCAAUAGCUGUGCUUGAAAAAUAAAGGGAGUUGGCAUUCAUUUGCUUCCAAACUCCCCCCAGGUGGACUGCUUUAGCUGUUAUUCCCUCCUUCUUCUUAGGAAGGUGCAGACGCUUACAUUUACAAAGAGCUGGGAGGUUUUCCACAUUAAUCUAGAUUUAAUAUUCGUUUCAAAAUACGUUUUCCCUAUUAAUUAAAAGUAAACCACGUAUUGUAUGGUACAUUAUCCCUCUAACGGCCCCAUGUGGAGAUUAUGAAGUGGAAAACUAAUGGUGUAGACUUUAGCAUUUGGGUGUUGCCUGAGUAAUUUACAUAUCUGUAAGGGGAUGUCGAUGUAUGUGCAAAUAAGCAGAACUCAGUGUGUCUUGUGCUUCCUCUGCCCCCACCCCCUCCUCCUCUCCUUACCUUGUUUUACAGAGGAAGUCAAAGAAGAAGUGUUGCCUCUCUCCCCUCAGCUAGAGAAGGUAAUGAGAUUCUGUGCACCCUCUAUUACGAGGAGGAUGAGAAAUCUGAUUAUUAAGGAGAGGCAUGUGGCAGUAAGAAAAAUUUGUUUGUUUUUUUCUUAUUGUAUCACCCCAAGAAACAAAGGUGACCCCCAUGUUCCAUUCAUUAAAUCUUGCCUCCUCUAAUUUAUCAAGGUAAACUAUCACACUUUCUGCUGAGCUAAUCAGAAACGGCCAAACUUGUUAGGUGAGCCUCAAAAGGACACAUCCGCGGAUUUGGAUAUCACUUCUGUAUACUGAGUGGGGCCUAAUUCAUGCUUCCCACUGAACAACAACAAAUGCUUUAUGGGCAUUUGCAUGUGUGUAUUGAGAUUUUUUAUUUCAUACAGGAAAGUUCAGGACAAUGAGGAUGAAUUAUGACCUGCAGGACGGAACAAGUGUAAUUAUUUCAAGGACGCAGAGUUGCUGCAGGUGCAGCUUUCUGAUGAAAAUAUCACCGGAAAAAUCAUUUGUGCAAAAAUGUUCAGGCUUUAGUUAUUAGACCUCAAACAAUAGUAUUAAAUCUCAGUAAACAGUCCUUUUUUCUGCACAAUUAGAUACAGACGGCAAAAGGAAAUAAACAGGCUCAUAUGAUGAAAAUACAUUUCAAAAUAAACGGUUUUAGUUAUUUUUAUAAGUUUACUUUGAAAAGUUUUUGGAGAAUAUAACACGUGAGAUUUCCUCACACCAUCUUAACAAAGUAUAAAUCAUGAGAAAUUUAAAAUAAAUGAGCCAGGAGGGGAGAGAAUCUCUUUUCCUCAGCUCUGGGAGUUGUUAGGAGCUAUUUGAAGAAAAGUGAGAAACAUCCCACACAUCAGCAGGCUGAGUCACUGCUGUACUGCUAACCAGUCUCGACUUAUGCCCGUCCCUCCUCCCAAAUGUCACAUGAGCUCACAUCAGCUCACACUUGUAGCCGAGACUGCACGGGAUGAAAAUUCACAAAAAAGGAAAAGAAAAUACUUGAUUUUAACCACGGAGAGAUCUUGUCCAAAAUAGGUUAAAAAAAGUGCAAUUUAUUCACCUACAUAAUACCAUGGCAGGUUUUAUGAGCAUCAUUUUCAAACAUUUCUAUUCUUUAGCUGUGUUUUACUAUUCUCUUUAUAAAAUUAAAGAAUUAUACGUUUGUAUAAUAAGAGGUCCUGGCGUCUUAAUCUGUAAUAAACACAGUCUAACAGGCGUGUUUUAAUCCCGUUGAGAGCUGCUUAGGCGCAUGAGUUCUGCAGGUGCUGGUGAGAAAUUAGUGUUUAUUACUGAGCUGGUAAUCACACCAACAACCUCUCUCUGCAGGGCUUUAACUUCUGACUGAGACCGUGAUGUGCACAGCAGGCUCACUAAGCUGCACUCUCGGUUUAAAUGACCCAGCCUGGCUAGCAUGUCUGCUUUGACCUGCUCAUGACAAAGCCCUGGUGUAAUUAAUAUGCACACUGAAACGCUCCCUACACGGCAGCUAACGCGAUUGGAAUCAUGCACAGAGAAAAAUCUUAUAUAGAUUCUGUACGCUGAACAUUUCAGUCAAGAGGCAUCUGAUUAUAAGAAAGACUUUUUUUUUUCCUUCUCUUCUGACAUCCUUUAAGAUUGAGAUUGAGACUUUCUCCUCAAAGAUUCAAAUUAAUCUUUAAAACUGGACAUUUUCCAAACAUGGGGAGCUCAGUGGGGUGACAGUGAGGCCCACAGAGUUCAUUUUAAUCCCUAUGGGCAAUUUUACUUUCAAAUAACAUCCUGAAGUGAAAUCUUGUUCACACUUAAUUAAUUUAAACACUUCAUUUUGGAGAUAAAAGUCUUCAAGUCCUCCCUAAGACAAAACUGUUAUUUAAUAGGAUACAGUAGACUCUGUGAUAAGGAGAGUUACGCUUUAUGCUGUUUAUUAAUUAAUUAUGUCCUCUUUGUGUUUUGCUCUUUAUAUUCAUGUCCAUGUGUUUGGAUAAUAUAGAGAUCAGAUGGUAUUACACUGAUGACAUUUCUUUGUCUUUCCUUUUUUAACUGAUGUGAUCACAUGUGUGGCUUUCAGGUCGAGACUUUUACCGUAGAAAAUGUUCAGUGACAGACAAACACAGUCAGGAAAGACCUCAGUUUUACUCUUUUUGAAGAGACUUUAAUACAUUAAUAUUUGAGCCUAUAUAGUUGUCUAUGUAUGUUAAAAAUAUUGAUGUGAGUACAGGCAGAGAUACUCUGGCUGUAUAUUUGUCUUUCCUAAAUGCUGAGUUAAUUAAUGGUAUGUGUGCACUAUUGUUUCUCCUUUUUAUAAUGAAUGCAUCACUGCACUGUCACUGAGUCCAUUUUGACAAAUAGGUGGGUGGAUGGAUAAAGAAAAAAACAUACAUUGGUGGUUGCCAAGGGGUUAGAUUUUGAAUUAAUUGAGGGAAAUGAAUUCAGCAGUAAUAGGCGCUGACAGCAGACUGUGGCAAUUGUGAUGGCAAUGAUUGAUGGUUGAUGCACACACACGGCUUAUGACAAAUAAUGCUUGUUUUUGCUCCUGGUGUGUUUAAAAUCCUACUUGUGUGUUCAUUAAAAAUAAAUACAUCAAGUGAGAAACACAUACAUUGAUGAAUGGAAAAGAUUUUUUUUGGCUUUUUAGAUGGAUGAAACAUUUUUGGUGAUAAAAAAGUAGAGUGUCUGAGGGAGUCCUUUCAGGGAGGUGCAGCAGCCUCCUCCAUCUCUGACCCACAUGAGCCAGGGAGCCCUAUCACAGCUCUCAUCACGCUCCUGUAGUCAGAGCCUUCUGACAGAGGCGUAAUGCUGAUCAGAUAGCUGUGUGGAGUCAUUGCUUACAUGUGUCACAACCGCCGUCCAUGAUCAUGUCAGAGUCACGCUGGGCGCCAGAGCCGGGCUCAGGGCUCGGUGGACCUGGCUGGUUUCGCUGCUGACAUUUCCACAGCAUGACCGGCGCUAUAGCGGAGCUCCACUCGCUGCAACCCUCGCUGCUAAUGUGGCUCUCCUGGGCCCCGCAGCACAGCGCUGGCAGCUGGAACGUGGGGGCCACAGGUGCUGCCAGGCCCUGUUAGCUUUACAGUAGCUCCUGGUGAGUCACAAACAAUCCCAGCGUGUGUGUGCUCUGAUACCUCCGCUUAUUAAAAGUCUAAUGAAUAAACAAAGGCUUUGGUGUGCUUGUUCACGGAGUUGGUACUGGGAUAAACUUCCAUUCUCUUGACUGUAUUGUUCAUCCUUUAUUUUCAGCAAUGACAAAAGUAGUAUCUCUAAUUAGCAGGAAAAUAGAAACCUCCAUUCUUGUCCUGUUGAUUACCUGGAUAUCACAUGAUUAAAGAUAACCAGAUACCACUCCUCAGUCUGUUCCUCUUUUUGUUGAUAAACAGAGGUCCGUGGACGGCUGCGGUUAAACCAGAUUGAUUUAUUGGUCCUCCGGCCUGGACACGAUUAUCUUCUGACUCUGGGGAUCAGCCUGCUUCCCAAACAGGACCGGGUCCUGCCACACAGUCAUGACAGCUAAAUUGUUUCACUCAAGAGGUUGUCCCCCACCCCCCACCCCCUUUACCUUAGCCACUUGUUACUGCAGAGGUACUGUAUAAUUGUACCCAGAGGAACUUGUAAGCCUAUAUUGUGAGUGUGUUUCUCUUCAGGAGCGCAGUCCUUUGUGGCAACUUAAACUGUGAGGAGAAGGAGGAGGAGGAGGAGGAGGAGGAGGUGGUGUAUAUUCCCUCUUUGUUGGAGGCAAUAUUGGACUGAGGUUCAUAAAGUAAGGCACCGUUUAGUAUCACUUACUUACUGUGGAGCUUUGAUUUUCCUCUCAAGACCAAUUUACUGCACUCUCUGUGUUAAUUGUUUUAUUUUAAAAUGAGGCAUAUUUUACAUGCAUGGUGAUGUUUAUUUAUGUGACUUUACAAUUUGACCAAAUUUAAGCUUUUGAAUGUAACCCACCCGAUGCUUUUUUGGUGGGAAUAUAUCAGCACUCGGAGCGAUAUCUAGCCGCACAUACCUGAGCACUUUAAAGUGAAGGUGAACAUGUUGGCGAGAAGAGACAAGAAAGAAAGGAUCUAUAAAUGGCUCUGACUCCUUUGGUGUCUGCGAUGGCGGUGGUGUUGGGGAGGAGGAGGAGGGGAGGUGGUGGAGGAGGAGGAGAGGGAGGGAGGUGGGGGUACUCACUGACCAUUAGUGCGCUCAAGUGCAGUACAUUCUAUGGCCUGUCAACUCUUCUACUAAUGUGUGAGGAAAUAACUCUAUUUCCCAAGCCAGUGAAAAUCACCUGCUCUGACAUGACUUAGAGUACACACUGUUCAGAUUUCUUCCUUUUUUUUUUCCUUAUGGAGAAUUUGCUACCAUAGCCACUUGAUAAUACCGCAAAGUUAACAUGGUGUUGUAGGUGUUUGGAGGAAAUACGCACAGAAAAAAUAACAUGGAGGUCGAACACUCUAAAGUUUAUCGAUAGAAUUGAAGUAAGAAAAUUAAAAGCAGGUCAAAGCAACAAAAAUGUCACAACAGCAGCAAUAACCAUACAGCAAAAAAGAACAUUUGGGUUGAAAAUAAUCGGCACAAAUCAAAGAUAUUGUUGUAUAUCUGCAGCAUUUUAGAAAUCAAGGGAAACAUCAUAUUUAGCUUUGUUCCUUAAAAAAGUCAAGCCUCAAAAUGUACUCUUUCUAAAUUUGUAGUACAGUUAAAAAUUUAGGUGCAUCCGUCUGGAGUUUGAAAACAACUUGGCUAAACAACAGAAGCACAAGACCCCCUUCUCCUUUCUUCUUAUUUGUGCUAUUAUAUAGUGAAUAUUAUGUGUUGCUGUCUUUGUAGAUUAGCACAACAACUAUGUAAGUCUAAGUGUUUGAGAUCUUUCUGCUGCGCCGCUCUCUCCCGUGUUAUGACAUUUAUUUUUAUCAGAGAACGAUUAGGGAGGUUAGUGAAAAAGAAACACUGUAAUUCUCCCCACGUCACAGCGAUCCUCAUGAACAAUAAUUUUCUUUAAGUAAUGCUGAGUGGUAUAGAACAAAUGAACCUCCCUGUGCAUGUCGCAUUAAGAGGCGCCCAGUGCUGCAGAGAGGUGUGUGUUGAGGGGUUAACCCCUGCUGUUCCUGUCUGUCCAUACCCACCCACCCCCCUUACCACCACCACCCACCAUCUCACCUCCACCCCCCACCCUAGCCUCUUCCUCUCUUCUCUCUCUCUCCACUCCUGCGCAGGGCCAAUACAAACAGCAUUAUUUAUGCUCGGCAAAACACCCCUUAAUUACUCAUGAACGGGCGCACGCUCCAGAGUCCGCCGCUCCCUACCACCCACCAACAGCCAUUAAACACUCCCUAAAAGCUCGCUAUUUGAUAUUAGCACACUUGAGCCUUUGAGGAGAAAUUAAAAAAUAAAUAAAUCUGGGAGUGAUUUACAUAUGCACAGCAGCUGAUAUUUAUACUCGGCGGUGCGUCCCUGAAGGGCUUGUCUUAUUACCUCUGUCCUCGGGUCCUAGCACAGAGACCAGGAAGGCAGGCAGGUGAUUAAUUCUGUACUCAUGAGGAGCCAACAAUUCCACAACAGGGAGGACGAUUCCUGUGGCUUUGUGCCGAGAAAACUCACUUUACUUUCUACUUUUCCUGUCUUUGCAUUUCCAUAUCCAAGUUUAUUGUCCUGUAUUAGAACCAACUAAGUGGUGAAGAAAUUAUUUUGUACUGAGAUGUUUUUAUACCUUUUAAUUGUAUCGAGCUAGUCUGGAAAUAAAUGCGUCUUUGUAUGUUUCAGAGCUGCAUUGAGGUCUUGUUGUGCAAACACUUUAAAGAGCAGCGAUAAACGCCUCAUGUCUUUGUGACGCGGACAUCAAAGUAUGAGGAAUCUUGGAUCAUUUUUAUCACAAACACUCCACUCAUACCACUGUAUAUUACCAUCCUGAUCUCUCUUAAACAUGCAUUAACUGUCAGUGCAGGAAUGAUGUCAACUGCACAGCCUACAUCUCACCAAACAACAAUAGUAUUUUUAUUUUUAUUUUUGCUGCACUUGCUGCCAUAGAAACCUCAAUACAUACUACAUCUUGAAUCUAAAACCUCGAGCUUCAUUAGUUGAACCAGCAGAAACACACUGUUCAACUUCUUCAUCUAAUUACAUCAUCAGACUCAAACAGUGGAGCCAUCAGCUGCUGGCUUGCUGUGUAGUCCUUAAAAUCCCUCUGUCUAAUUACUGCUUUAGUCUAUAUCCCUCUGACAUGGCAGUGAUAUAUCAUUAUUUUCCCCUGCAAUUUGUUAUAUUCUUUGCAAUAUAAUUGGAUCAGAUUAAUUAUUAUGAUUAAUGGAUUCCCUGGUUUCUGUGUAUAACUAUUAAUAUUAGAGGGUUUGAAAGAGGCAGCGUACACACACUUGAGGUAACGGAGCAGUUUAAGCACCUUACAGAAAUCUGAUUAAUGUCUUUAUCAGAAGGUUUAAUGUAUAUGUUGACAUAGAACUUCACUAGUCCUGCUGUUUUACCCAGUAUUACAGUGUAUUUUUAGCUUAUAGUGAAGAAUAACUUUAAAGACACUAAUUUUAAAGUUUUCUGUCAUAAAAUAACAAAAAAGCCAUUUUUAUGUCUUCAAGUAUUGUAGUAAUUCUGUUUUAACAGUCAGCGCCCCUCUCUUUACCACUGCAGACAUAUCCAAUCAGCUCAAUCUCAAGUUUAUAACAUGAUAGCUUAUUAAUUAGAAGUGAAAAUGCUUCCCGAAGCCCUAAAUCUUCACCAAUGCUGCAAUUUAGCGCUCCCAAAAAAUACUGUCCAGUUAUGUUGGAUGGACACUAGUCAAUUCCCCGUGCAUGGGAAUGGCUCAUUAACGGGCUGAGGCAAGCCGCGUGCGUUUGUGUAUGGCUGCUGGUGGUGGAUGUGUAGAAUGGAUUUAUGGUGUCACUCAGCCCUGGAGAACGACUAAUGAGGGUGCGCAGGCUAGCAGCGUCCGAGUGGGGUAAUUCCACCCACCAUCCAUCCACCAGAGGGGGGUUGGAGAGAGGGAGUAGAGGAGGAGGGGGGGUUUGUGGAAGGAGGACACAUCCCUCAUUACGUGCGAGUGUCUCAGGAGCUUUCUUUAAUAUUUUAAUAAAUAACAUCAGCCCAACAAGAAAUUAAUGAAUAGUAUCAUUAAUAAUGAGCCCAAGCCUUGUAGUGAUAGGACAGAUAUUAAAUUGAACCACUGUGGGGAGAUCUCCUGAGACUCGGGAUUUUUCCAGCAGCAAACAAGGCCAGUGAAUGAGGCAGCCGUCCCUCCGUGCCAACAGCUUUUACAACAGGUUGAAAGUAAUAAAGGAGGAUUUUCCCAGCGAUAGAGUUAAGCCCCAGGAAAUCUGCUCAUGUAGAUCGCUAUGAAAGGCACAGCCAAAUGUGAUCCUUAAUUAAACUUUAAUCAAGAUAAUGCUGUUUGCAGGAGAAGUAGUUUAAAAAAGGUGUCCCCAGCCCCCCGUUUUCCAUCCAGUCAACCUCCCUGCUUCAUAUUGUAGCGGUCAUAACCCCACUUAUCUGCUUCUUAAACUUGUGUGUGUGCUUGUUUGUUUGUUUGUGUUGUUUGUUUUCAUUCGCAAAGCCGGGUAUUCUUUGGUUGUAUGGUUUUGAUUCAGGUUUACAUUUGUCUGGAUUUCUCUGUUUUGUCUGUGUGUGUAUUUGCUCUUAGUAGGUGCUACCCCCAAGAUUAAACUGAAGAAAAAGCUUAUUUCUGUUGCAAAAUUAGCACUUAAUACCCAGGCAACAUGGUUUUCAGUCAGACUGAUAUUUUUCAGGGAAAAACGGUUUGCACACAGACCUGAAGCCAGAGAAGGGACUGUACCUGACUAAAAAUUAAAGAUAGCAGAAGAUUUGUGGGUUGUGGGUUUGUACCUGCGAGCCAAGAACCAAAAACUUCACUGUAAACUAAAAGACUUAUCAACGGGUUUGCAGCUUCAGUAUCAAAACCACAGAUGAGCAAUGACACUUACACCUUUAAAACCCUAUUAUUUCUAAUAGACAAAUAUAAAUAGUGUUUAUGGAAAUCACUUAGUCAGAGAAUUUCUCAGCAGCUUCAUCUUCAAGUAAUUUAUGCCACUUUUUAGCCACCAAAUCUGCGCUAUGCAUUCUUGUUAACAUAUUACACAAACAUCUCGUGGAAAUACAACAUCUUAUCUUAAAGGUAAAAUACAUUCAUUUACAGGGAGCAGAUUUGGGUCAUGCUGUGUGUUCAUUUACAUAAUAGUAUGCAUUAUCAAAGCAGGUAAACUGCAGUAGGAGACAAAGUGCGAACACUUAAUCAUUGUUGUGUUAACUUAUUACAUGAAAAGUUAAUAUAUGGAGCAUUCCACUGUAUAUCUUUGCUGUUUUAAUGCAAACAGACGGUAUUUACUACUGAGGAAGUUUACUGGUUCAGGUUCAGGUUAUCUUUAUCGUCCCACAGGGGGGAGGCUUGUGUUGCAGAAGGAGCGCACAAACUGACAUGAGGACGUCAUUUAUGGACCCAAAUUUUAAUCAAACUUGAAACAACACACACAACUUAAAUGACACUGUAUGAGAGGACAAAAACAACAAUGUUUACACUAAAAUCAGUGCUUUUGUGCUUGUACUUUUAGAGACUUAAGGAAUCGUCCUUAAAGACCCACGUUUUCUCCCUUGCGUUUCAUAAAUGAGCACACACAAAUCAAUUUAUUCUUUUACUGUCUGUAUUUUGUUUCCACUGUUUUUAACUUUAUUGUUUUAUUGUAAUAUAUCUAUUUAUUCACUUCUUUUAUUUAUCCUAUGUACAGCACUUUGAUUGACUGCUGUCUUCUUAAAGGUGCUUUAUAAUGAAACUUGUCUCGUACAGAUUGUGCACAUCACGUUUCUGUGAUAUCCAAACUUGUGUCACAUUUGCUGGCUGUGUUCUGCCAGCAGAAAUCCUGCAACUGUCUGUAUUUAAAUAUAGUUUUUAAAGACUUGAAUUUUAGCCAGACUGUUUUGUUUCUAUCUCAAUAAUAAAAAACCAAAACAGUCUGAUUAUUGAAAUAAAGUUCAAUAAGAUGUCUUUAGUGCUGAAUUGUGUGUCUGAAAUUUGGCCUCUCUUUUCUGUUGUGUUCUGUUUAGACCAUAUGUCCCCACCACGUACAAUAUUUAUUCAUUCCCUGCUGUAUAAAAAAAUACCAGUUUUUCCUUCAUAAUAAAAAGUGGAUUACCGUGAAUCACAGGAAAGCAUCACCAGCUGUCACGGUGAAAUGAGACCAUGCUGGCCAAUGUCUACGAUGAUUAAAGAACACAUUUAGAAAUUAGUCAUUAAUUAGCUGAUUUUUCUUUCCAUGCCAUAAAUAUUCCGUACGGGUCAUCAGUGAGUUGUAGAGUUUGAGAUUAUCAUAGGUAAGGGUGUUAAUGUUUCUAAAAGUUGUUCCACAGGUGGAAUAUAAAGCACGAACUGCUUAAAAAAUCUAAAGUUUUCAUGUUUAUGCAUAUUGGAAUUAGGUGUGGGAACCACUAGUGGACCCAUGAUAUGAUAUUAUCACGGUACUUGGGCCACAAUAUGAUUUUUAACUUUCUGCAAUACAGCGAGUAUUGCAAUACAAUAUAUAUUAUACUAUUUUUUCAAUUGUUCAGUUGAAUUAGCAUUUGUCUUUCCUUUUAUGUUUGUCUUAUUUACACUGUAUUUUAUUUUUAUGUUGCACAUAUUGCAAACCUCUUAUAUAUUUGUUGUACUUACUUUCUCCUGCUCUAUGAUGUCACCUCUGCCAAUCUCACUGGACUAACAGUUGAUUUUCUUUUUUUCCAUUAUCAUAGAUUUGACUUCAUAUUAGCAAUUAAUUUGAAAAAAAUUGAUACUUGGUCAAUGAGACAAUAUGAUAUAUCACCAGAAGAAAUAUCGUGAUACUAUGCUGUAUCGUUAUUUUCUCCCACUCCUAACUGAAAUACAGGUUAACACCUCCAACCAGUCUACCUAAACUUACACUCAAUGUUGCGCUAAUUUUAGAUUUUUAAUUUCUUAUCGACGUAAUUUACUUAAUGCCAAUUUUAGCUUCAAAACGUGAAUAAUUUCUCUUAAAAGAAAGAGAAAAAAUGUGGUGAAACUUUUGUUAAAAGGGGUUGCAUGGUAUAAAGGUCAAGCUGUUGUUCUGUACUUAGUGUAGACUAAAAAGGGACACUGAUACCUCUGAGGUGAAAAUGCAGUAUGCAGUCUUCACCACCUGAAGAAUGAACAGUCUUCAGGCUUUGACUGAUUACAGCGCCACCCUUGCUUGUUUUGUUGCCUCCUCUAAAAGCGAUACUCAGCAGAACGUGGAUUUUUCUCCUUCAUGUUGUGCUUUCUGCAUGAGUAAUUACAUCCUUGAUUUCUGACGUACAGAAAAGUCCAAAGAUUGAUAGAGGCUCUGUGUAUGACGGGACUGUUAUUAUAAUGGCAAAAUACACAAAAAAAGGAAGAAGGAGCGCAGAUCUUCAUUUGUAUGGUCUAUUAAGAUGCGCGUAUGUAUCUGCGCUCAUGUAGUGAAGAGCACCACUAAGUUAAGCUGCACCUCUACCACUCACACAGAAUACUGUAGGAGGCUGACCCGACAAAGACAAAUCACACUCACUCGGAUUUCCAUAGUGCUGUACAUCUUUAAAUCAUAACGACUAAACAAUGAACAACACUGGGCUGGAAGCAUCGAAUGAACAAGAGCACCCAGGCUGCUCUUUUUUCCCCCUCCCUUCCUUUCGUGCUGCUGCUGAAAUGACUAAUGCACGGAGGGUCAUGGUGUAAAACUGUUGCCCCAAGGUCAGCACACUGACACUUAAUUGUUUGUCCUGUCAUGUGUCACUUCCUUGAAAUUUCAUAUCUGACCCUUGUUAGCCCAGUGUUUCUGUUUUAAUCCUCAGUGUGACAGAAAGAUCAGGACUGUGCCGUGAUCAAGAUGUGUCAGAUUACUUGUGUUGGGUCCUGUCAUUUUGAUGCAAUACAGACUGGAGAUGCUUGGCUGUCAUGUGUAGACUGUGGGGUGUUGUGCUUUUUCCACAAAUUGGUUUCUUUACAUUGCUAUAAGUUAAAACAAUAGCAGAAGAACAGAGCCACUCAAAAUCAGAUUCUCGAUAAUCCAUCUCCUUAUUUGUGACAUAAAAAUGUUCAGAAAUAUAUCUUAAGAUGUCCCAUCCACAAAUAUUCCAAAAACAUGUGUUUGCAAAAUUUACAAGGCAUCAAAUCCAGGAUUCAAAGUUGCCUUCUUCCCCUUUGAUCAUGCACUUUGUCUCAUUUCUCACCAGCUUUUAUGCUCUUUAUCUGAUAUAAUUUUUAAGUGCCUUGGGAAAGAGUAAAAACCAAUACAAAUUGGAUUAUAAACAGGGAGGAACAUCAAUCACAGCUCACAGGUGUUAUUACUUUUUUCUUUAACCUGCAGCUGCAACACUACAGAGAAGAAACCCUCUGUCAGCCAGAUUAUCAUCUUUAGUCAAGGCAAAAUUCUGAUGUUUUUUUUUCCAAUUACACGUAAACGAAUGUUUCUUUUCUUUCUUUUUCAAUCUCUCUGUGUGCCUUUAAUUGAUCUGAAAGAAAACGCUCUUUCGCACACUGUGUCUGUGUGCCUGCAUGUGUCAGUGCAUGCUUGCCUUGAAGUACUGUAAACAUGAUUAAGCACUUUCAUAGUCAUAUUUAGUGUCAGCUUACUGCUCUGCUCUGCUCUUAAUUUUACAUGUUUCAUGGCUAUACAGAAUGAACAGCCACAUUACUCUCUCACUACUCCCGCCUACAUCCUUUUCUACACAGCAAUAACUAAUCACAACUGGGCUACAGGAAUUUAUGUGGACUAUGCAAUCUAAUGACUCAGCAAGCUGCAGUAUAUCCACCUUAGACUAUUAUCCACUAGUGCUACAGCACUUUGACUCUGGCACUUUACCUUGUUAUUUGUUGUUUAUGACAUAGUGCUUGAUGCAGCUUUUUCUUCGUCUUUACAUCAGUGUGUUUUUAGUAGGAAGUCUGUUUUUAGCAUGCACCUUUACUUUGUAAGCACAAACCAGGAGUUGAGCUCUGAAUUUUAUUGUAUCCUGAUACAACCGCAGCUCUACUUCUGAGAAUGUGGCCACUAUCAUGACAAGUAUUGAACUUAUAAUGAGGCUCAAAUUUUUUCUCACCUUAAUAGAGAAAAAAAAGAAGGUCCAUGCUUGAAUUAAUCAUCAAACAUUCCUCGAUUAAAGUAUAUCAGAUUUUUUGGGAUUAAUUUGUGGAGUUAUAUCACUUUUGUCCAUGUUGAUGUCAAGUAUCUCAAAUAUGAGGGCACAACAAAGCAUUUUUCUUUUUAGACGCCGUGUUACAAAUCAUCAUAAACUCCAUUAUGUGUUAUUUAUGAUGUCUUUUUUAUUCCUCACUCCCGCCGUUUCCCAUGUGCAUCACUGUGAGGUUAUCACCCUCGACUUAACAAACGACACGCUCGUGUUUGUAUGAAUGUAUUGAUCAGCGCUCUAUUUGGGCAGAUAUCUUUCUUUAUUUAGGAUGUCAGGCUCACAGGCAGGAAAACGCUGUCUCUACUCUUUCAUGCCAUGCUUUCUCUUUUUUUUUUUCUUUUUUUUUGCCUCACUGACUCCCCUAACUGCCUCGCUUUAUUGAAUAAAUUCAAGCUGUCACUUCCCAUGCUGGUGGAAUAACUCAAACACAAUAUAUAAUAAUACAGGAAAAGUAGGAUAAAAUAAUCUUGUCAUGGCUGUAAAAGUGAUUGCUGGAAGCCAUCGUCGGCAAUCAAUACACUAAUUCCGUAAUUUAUACUCGAGGCAAUCGAGGAGGAAGGAAGCUCUGAUAUGGUAUUUCUUGGCUCACUGACCAACUUUGACCUUCAGUAGAAGUGAGAGCGGGAUUAUUGUGUUGUUCAGCUCAAAGAAAUCACCUACAAGAGUUGAGAGGCAGUGUCUGACAUUUUAUGUUCAGGACCAAAAACCCUAAACUGAUUAAUUCUUGGUAAGCACCAGCUCUUGAGCUUUCACUAUCUUUAUGACAGCAAAUCCCUGACACUCAGCUGACAGAGUGAAACAUAAAAGCUGCCCGCUGAUUUUCUCUAACUUAUUUCUUUUAUCCUUUCUUUUUAUGGAGGGGGAGGUACCUUUCAUUUUCAACCCUGGAGCGAGAGGAAUUUUUCACUGACGCCAGAACUCAUUAUCAGCUCCUCGGUCUUCUCUUGCGGUUGCCAAUCAUAGGCUGCCCAUUCUCCAUUAAUUGUGUCUUUAUAUGGGUCAUUCCUGUCUGUUCUUUAUGGCGGAGGAUAUAUGCAGGGCAGUGCUUAAAUAGCUCCCACACUAAACUUCAAUAUUUAUCUGUAAGUCUUUUCUCAGGGAUGGCAUUGAUGUUUCUAUAGCAAGGUUGAGAUCCAUGAGGGCCAACUUAAAAACGGUAAACACCAGAAGGUGUCAGAAGUUGCUCUGAAAAGGAGUCAUUGAUUGCAAUUAGUAGAGAGAUUAUUUCAAGUGUUUUUCUGCCCCCUCUGGUGAUGCUAAUAACUUAAUGAUCCCUAAAAAUGCAUGCAAUUUGCCUCACUUGGAUUUAACCGUAUUGUAUACCUGGGACCUACAGAUUUCCAAUCACAGCCUCAGACACUGUAUAGAAAAUAACAGCAACAACAACAGCCAGGAAAUACCACAGCUAUUCUAACAUGGCUUAAUGUGAAGUCAUGAAUCUGCAGCCAUCACUAACACAGCAACAUUUCUCUACUUUUGCUACGUGUGUUGACUUCUUCCAUUAUCGUGAACAUAGAUGUGUUAUACUUUUUAUUGUUUCUAGUCUAAGAAUAAAAUUAUAGACAAUCAAGAAAAUGUGCCAAAAAUAACAAUUUAUGUUGAAAUAUGGUCAAAUAAUCUCUCAUGUUGGAAAUUCUGUCUUGAUAUUGAAUAAAUUAGUCAUUUUCUCGUUUUGGGGAACUUUUUAUUUGUCUGUAUUUUUCCCCCUGACAGUUUUACUGUUAAUUAAAACUAACAGUAGGACUUUACAUUACUGUCCCACUUAUACACAUUUAUUUACGCUAUGUUAUCGCUUAAAAAAUCAUGAGUUAAUCUGAUCAUCCAUGCAUUAAUGAUUACCUCAUAUAAGACAGAGUCUUUAUCAUGUAUGCUCUUCAUUAAUUGAUAAUGACGCACUAUUUAUUCAUUAAUUAAUUAGCCAUUAAUGCGUAGUACUAAUUAAUGCUGUUAGUUCAUGUGUUAAUUACCACAGUGGGUUAAUUCUCCACUGUUCUUCAUGUUGAGUUGGUGUUGAUUCUCCACUAAGUAAAAUCACAGCAUGAUUAUAUCUUUGUUAAACAUGAGUUGAUAAUUAAUUUAGACAGAGGCUGAUUAUAAUCUCAAAGACGAUAGCCAGUAGCAAGAACAGUCGAGCAAAUACAGUCAGCAUUUUACUGUAAAAGAUCAAACUAGAAGCAAAGUUGGAAGUUUCUCUUUGAGUUUGAUCGUUUCAGGUUGUGAUAGAAAAGUCACACUGGCAUGACAAGUCAGCCACAGUACAAAUAUGUAUUUUUAACUAAAUAUUACCAUGGUAGUGAUGUUAAAUCUGUCAGCACCUUAAUGAUAAUUCACUUUCUGCGUCUGUAUCAAGUAAGCAUACUGAAUGUUUAGUCCUAAUGGAAGCAGCAGUUAUGCUAGCUGUAGGUGUAGAUGAUAGAAGUGCCUUUGCAGUUCUGAUUAAGUCAUAAAUUGUUUUCUUUUGCAUUAUUUUAAUAGCACAUGUAUUUGGAAGAUGCUGUCUUUGCUCUGUAAGUCAAACCUGAGCCAAAUUCACUGUUUUUUCCUUUUUUUUUUUUCUUUUUUUUUCAAAUUACAAUUCUCUCAGUGGAGUAUGUACAUCUCUUGUUGCCACUGACUUUUGUCUCAAAGUGAAAUCAUGAUCAGUGUUUUUCUUGUAUAACGUAUGAUGCUAACUGGAGAAGGGUUGCAGGUGGGUUUAUCAACUCGUGAACGCUCUUCAUCAAACACAGCUGCUAUCAAUUCAGCUUGCUGUAAGUAGCAACUUUGUGUGAAAUCAUGAAUUAUAUCAUGCUAACAUUUUUGUCAACAGUUGAACAGCUCAAACACUGUGUUGCUGGUGGAAGUUGGGGCACACUGGGGUCUGCAGUUUACAUGCAAGCAUAAAUACUGCAGUCUAGCUGGCUGUCACAAUUUUCACUGCAUGAUAGGGCUGCCAUGAUAAUUCGAUUAAUCAAUUAAAGUUCCACAAUCAAAAUGGUCAACAACUAUUUCAAUAAUCUGCAAAUAACCAACGUUUAAUCGAUUAAUCGCAAAAAUAAUCAUAGUCGUGUCGAUUAUCAGAAUAAUCGUUUGUGGCAGCCCUACUGCAUGACAGGAUUUUUGAUCAGAUCGUAUGGAGAGAAAACUGUUCUGAAGUGUAUCUCUGUUAUUGGCAUGAAUAUGUCAUAUUCCCCUGCUGAGAUCUUUUUUAUUGCUCUGCUCUAAACCCCAAUCAUCUUAACCUUGAAUCCUGUCAGAAAAGGCUGUGUCUUUAAGAACAAACAGCUGAAAGUUGACUCACUAGCUUGUAACAAAAAGGAUCUGACAAAGAUCCUUUCCCAGAAUUAAGAAGUUUGAGUUCUUUAUAUAGAUGUAAGCUACUAUUAGCAACAGUAACAUCUAUAUAUUUUUAUUCUGUCAUAAUCCUUACUGUUCAAGAUCAGUAAUAGGCUCUUAGUCCAUUGUAUAACUGCACUGAUCCAAACUCCAACAAUGGUCAACAUGAUGAUGCAGUCUGGUUUCUGCACCCCCAACUGACAGAGCGUCUAACUCUACCGCCCCCAAUUAGGGAAAACUCCUCAAACAGUGACUGUGCUUGACUGUUUUCAGUCUGCAGAUAGAAGGUGGUCUCGCUCAGCAGGGGCCACAGUGAGACCCCUGCAGAGUCGGACCACCGCUCAUUGAGGACAGAAGGAACUGAAGGACUCAUAAUGAUCACUGUGUGUGGGGUUCAGUUACAGCAGGAGAUUGGAAAGAUGGUGCAUGACCUUUGCUAUAUUGACCUACUGGUUGACACCUAGAGGGGUGCUCCAACAACACAACAGAGCACAUCCAGGAGGAAAACAGGGAAAACUUUGAAUCCAUUGUAAGGGAUCCUAUAUCAUUCAUUUCAUACACUAAGCACACACACACAUGUAUUUUUUUAAUGUAUGUUUUCUCCUCCUACUGUACAUGUGCAUCCAAGCGUGAGCCCAUCAAGUGUUUGUGUGUGGUUCUUAGGGGUGAGGUGGCGUGGUGCUGGAGCAGAGGGGGUGACAGACAGUGGUAGCACCUCACACUUGACGUCCCAAAUAGAUGAAAGGAAUUUCUCCCAGAUUCUGCCUUUCCCGCCGCAGCCUGGAGCAGAAUGAGCACUUGUGAGGAUAAUUAAAAUUGAUGAUAUAGAAUGACACAGACAUGAUUUCUGCCUGCAGCAAGAGGUCUCUGAAGACUGUGCAGCCCAACUGUCAUGCCACCGCUGCUCUGUUUUACAUGACUGUUUCACCUCACUAAAUUGAUUGCAAGUAAAUACUCUAUUGAAUUAAAGUGUGAUUUAUCAGUCUGGGGAAUCCAGAUGAUCUCUUUUUUGAUGGCCGUUUUUCUUUCAUGGCCUUCAAUCUUGGGUAAUUUGGUUUAUUUUUGUGAGGCUGUCCUGGAUUUAAGCCUUUGUUUUUAAGAGUGUUCAGGUCAAAAAUAGCAGUAAAAACUGUUUGUGUCCAUUAAUCAAGACCUCCCUACAGUAAAACCUAAACAUUAUUUUCUUUAUGCUGCCUUUUAUAAAACGGAAAAGUGGUCUAAGACCAGACUAAACUAGAAGAGAUUCUCUGUCACAUUUAUUUCACCUUGUCUAUCAGGAAUAUAACUCUCUAUUUUGAAAAAAAAGUAGAAGUUUUGAUUCCUUCAAAAUGAUGAAAACUCAUUUAGGGGAGUCUUCAGUGAUGUAGUCCUUACGCUUGUGCACAGGUGAGAGGAUAAUGUCAAACUAAUUAUCUGACAGCGGAGAAUCAAAACAGGAGAGUCCUCAACUCCUGAUUAUCUCUAAGCCUAAUUCUUGGAAACUUCCAGAUCGUUCGAAUGUUGGUUUGUGAGAAAAUGAUCGACUGACUGUUUUAGAAUAUUUGAAUAUUCCUCUGAAUGCAAAAUAUUGAUGAACUGUCUGUAAAUACUUCAAACUGAUCUGUAUCACAGUCAGCUUCUGGGCUGAGUUUUGUGCUGGCUCAUGUUAAAUGGUCAUUUGCUUAUUCACGGCAAAUGUCAUCUUUAGUCCUGAGUGGGAACAGCUUGCUCUUGUUUCUGGUUUAUUUGAAGGAGCUUAACAGCUGUCAAUGAGAAGAGCAGAGGGACAGAAGGCUAGACAUUGGGCAGUAUGGUGGGGGGAUGGUCACUAAACCCCCACAAGGGUCCGUCUAGAGAUAAAUAUUGAUUGCGGACAGUUUUAAUUACUUCCUUAAAUUGAGCAAUUUUGGUUUUCCCAGUGGGCUCCCUGUGAAAAAUCUAUGUGGGAUUCUACGUUGAGGGAGAGGAAGAGUGUUGAGCAUGGCGUACCAUAAAUCACGGCAGAUACAUAAUUCAUUGGAAGCAUGUGAAAAGGACAAGACAAGAUGCUUUGGAUCAUUGAAAACAGCGUUUCCACAGGUCUGUCCAUGUAGUGAGAUCAGCCUCUUUGUUUGAGGAGAAAUUUGUUAACUUGUUCGACUUCCACCCUCAUCUAAAUGGUACCAAAUGAUGAAUGGGCCUCUGAACAGUUUUACUAAUACAUUUGAUUCCCAGGUUCGGACAGUUUGGAAGGACAUUUGGGCAAAACUUUUUUCUUUUUUAACCGAUUGAUGACAUUUUCUUAAUGAAGUGGUCAAAAAAAUAAAGGAACAAAGGUACAAAGAUUUUACACUAGCUUGUUGUCAUUGCAGGGGUGUGGGUAGGGCUGGGCGAUAUGGGAAAAGUUUAUCAUAAUAUAUUUUUUUCAUAUCAGUCUAUAUUGAUAUAUGUAUAAAACAUGAAAUUUAACUGUGCUUAUUGGUAGCAUGUCUUUUGCAAUACAAUAAGCUACUGCAUCUGUGAGGUCUUUGUGUCUCUUCAACAUUUUGUUGUAAGGCGUUGUGCUAAAGAAAGUGGACUGAAUGUUUCGGCUGCACAGGCGCCUUUGGCUCCUUGCUCCGCUUGGGGUUUGUAACCUUUUGCAUUGUGCGUGCUCUGCCGCAUGGCACUGCUUCAGGUGGUGAAAAAGAUUUGAGGUAUACCCCGACUUUGCGAGAACAUGUACUCAAGAUAAUUUGCAGUGCAAAUUACUCGGCUUCAUGUCCGACCUCAAAAAAACAAAAUACAUCCACACCACCGACGUUUUCAUGCCAGUGUUGUCGACGAUGUCAUCAUCUGUUGAGCCUUCAUCUGCAUUUCUGCUGGGGGUAGCACUCAUUUUCUUUUUUUCUCAUCGACAGUGCUGUCGGCUUUACGUGUUAAAGUGCUAUGGUUGCGUGCAGCUGCAACCUGCUACUACGCAGUUGUUUGCUACUUGGUUCUAAUUUAUUCGGGAGCAACUCCCCUUUUUAUUGGCUUUUCAUAUAGCCUACCAAAACAUGGCGACUAUCGAAAAGCAUAUUGACCAUGUUUCAUAUUGAUAUUGAGGGAAAGUAAUUUUCGAUACAUAUUGUUGGCGUUUUAUCGCCUAGCCCUAGGUGUGGCUUGUCUUUUUUUCAGUCAAAGUCUUCGUCCAUUUACCCUCAGAGGGCCAAGGUCAGUUUUGAACUCUGCUAGUGCAAAGACUUAUUUAAUUUUGAGACAACAUUUGGCGUGCCUGUUCUAUCCAAGCAGAAGAACAGUCAACCAGACAGCGCUCCAGUAUUUUCUGAAAACAGAACAUGGAUCAAACCUCGUCAUACCAGAGUCCUUGACAUCAAGGUAACAUUACUGCUAAUAGGUUUUGGUUUCAGCUUUAAAGAUUUCCUUCUUUCCUUUAAAGAUAAGCAUCACGAAGUGAAGAUGGUCACUCUGGAAAGCUGUUCAAGUCAUUACCAUGAUCUGUCAGUAAUACCAGGGUUUACCUGAUUGAGUCCAUGUCAAGAUAUCUGCACCUUUCAGUUCCUCUGAUGAGAAUUUACAUUGGUACAGUAUCAGCUUCAUCAUACAGGAUCUAAAGCCUCUUUAUAGCCACAUUUAUAUUAUCCUCCCAUCUUCCUCAGAAGCAGUCUAAAUCAUUGGUUGAAGUUGGUAUGCGAUGUAUAUGUACCUUGAUUGUUUUAGAGCAACUUUCUCCGACUUUGUCAAGGAAAUCUAAAUGUUCAAGAAAGUGUCUUCUUUGACUUCAGUCAGUGUGUGGCUGCUCUCUCUCUCUCUCUCUCUCUCUCUCUGUCUGUAUGACUGCAGCCUGUAAAUGGCAGUGCAUGCUUGUCUUUCCUCAGGACUGACCUGCAGGCUUUCUCUUGUCUCACCUGUGGGAGAAAAAACACAGCUUUCAUAUACAUCCACCCCAAAUGCAACCAGCCUGACCUGCUCCCCUGAGGCCCGGCUCUCCAUAUCCCCAAACAGAUUGGUCAGUAGAAUUGCACGAUUGAGGUUUCCGAGCAAGGCAUUACUCUGUUGUAUUGUAAAGACCCCUACACUGACCUGUGCAUGGAAGCAUAGGAAGACAGAUUUUUACACUCUGUUCAUCAGAGAUGCCACCAGCAAUCAGCACAGAGUUUUUCCCCUGUCCCUUUCUGGUAUUAAAGAGAGGAGAGUGAGAGGUAGCUGACUGAAGCACUGACCUUAUUCUGAAGGGCUGGGCUGUUAUAGUGAGAGGUGAGUCUGGUCAGCUGUGCUGCACCAGCCCAUUGUCUGUCCAUAUCAUGGUGGUGGCUGGGGAAUGCAUACAGAGUGAAGCAUUAAAUGUUGAUACUCUACAUGCAGCUUCUCAUUGGCUUUGGCCUAGUAGCACAGUUUCAGACUGAUGAAGCAGAGAAUACACUGUUCCAUAUAUUUUUAUUGGAGAUCAGGUUUUUUUAGUGUGAAUAAAAUACAACAGAUGUUCCAACUGAGAUUUCUUUUAGCCUGGUUACAACCCCUUUCCUGCAUGCAAGUAUUAGCCUGGAUCAAGCACUCCUGCAGUCCUUAGAAUUGAAAAAAGAUAAUUAAAAAAAACAAAAAAAAAAGCCAGCAUUGGUAACUGUAUGCAAUGCUUUUCCAAUAUUAAAUGUUAUACAAGAACUGAUUUUAUUAAAGGUUCCAGUAUUAUCAGUGUCACUCUUGUUGCCAGAAUUUUAAAAUGAUCCAUAUUAGCACUGGUAUACCAGCCAUAGCAUUAUUAACACUACAGAUGCAGUAUUUAUACAAGUGUAAAAUAGUGCAACUUAACUGUGAUAGGCCCUGGUGCAAAUAUUUCAAUGGCCCUCUUCAUUGCUCUAAACAGAAGCACAUGCUCAUUUAACUACAUGUAUAGACCAUAGAAAACCACUCCCAACAGUUUCAAAUUUAUGAAUGGAAUUAUAUUAUGGUACUGUAUAAUAGUAAUAAUAUGAUAUUUAGGAAGAGAGUCAUCCACACACAUUUAAUCUACUCUUACCUUACAGCCUGCAUUAAACCACCACAUUCUGGCUAAUUUUAACUAUAAACCGUUCAAAACAGCUUUAGACGACAGGAAGCUUACUUUGCUGUUUGUUGAAAAGCUUUAGACACAGAGUAAAAGAAAAGCACAGAAGCAUUAUGUAGACAUAUUAUUAAUGGCAGCUCCUGAUACAUUCAUAUGCAGACUUUAACUUUUAAAUUCCAUCAAUAACAGCACAGCAGCCAAUCAGAAACAGCCAGAGCUGUUGGUAAGUGAAUAAUAGUCAGAAGGUAAAAAUCUAGUUUGGUAACACUAGAAAUCUCACCUGCUCUCAUGAUGUCUUAGCUUAUACUGACAACAUGCUCCCACGUCAUGGUCAGCAGAGCGCCUCUCAUCUGAUGUACAUUUAAUGAUGACAGAUGUGGACGUUCAUCAUGAGCUCACUUAAGUGCAUGGGCUACACUAACGCCAGUGUUAGAAUCAACCUAGUACAGGUAUCUGAAACAGUACUGUUUCAAUGUUAUAAUGUUAGUGUUAUUAAGCAGACGCCUUUGUCUGAACAACAUAUAUUUAAGAGCAAGAACAACACAAGCAGGAUCUAGAUAGUAGGAAAUAAGAUAAAUAAAGAGCACAUCAGUGUGGUCACUAAAACAUGAAUACUAGUGCCUUUUUUACACUUUUUUUUACCUGAUUAGAAGACUUCAAGCUGUUUGUGUAGGUGUCUGUGUCUGUGUGGGUCUGUGAGUGUGUCAGUGUCUUUGCUGCAAUCAGUUACCCUUGUUUGAUGUGUCUGUUGUUAUGUGCUUUUUUGCCUGUUUCACAUUCUUAUUCAUGUGGGUGGAUCAGCAUAUAUACCAUACAUCAAUUGUGUAAACACUUUGCCUCAGCCUGCAGAUGACGAGGAUUCUUCUUAAACAAACUCAAAUGAAUAAAUAAUAUGUCAAGGAAGUGCGUAUACUCAGAUCCAUAAAUUACUACUGCAGGCCCCGCGCUGUCCUCCAUGACAUGGGUGUGAGUGAGAGUCCCGCCUGUGAUUAUGUCUCUCUUCUUCUUAUGCACCAGACUGACAAGCUUGUGUCAGAGAGGGGGGUGGAGGAAAAGACAAGCCCCUCGCUCCGAGUGCUAAUGGAUGAUUGGAGGCAGGAUAGGAGGCUUCAGUUCUCUCUUUCAUCCUGGCCUGCUUUUGACCUGGAGAGGCAGCAGUAAUCGGCCCGGCAGAGGGGUAAUCAUUCCCCACGUGCGGACUCUGAUAAGUUGGAACACCUUCCCCCGGCAGCAGAGAGGGAGCUCCCGCGGCCUUCCUCGGUUAUCGCUGUCCCCGGCACCCCUUCAAGAGGCUGCGUUUGCCUCCUCUCCCAGGCUCAAAGGCUCCAUCAACAGCGGCUCUCUGCUCGGCUUUCAUCUGACAGAGCACAUAAGCCGGUGAAAGGGAGGAAAAAAUAAACUGGGUUCUAUCUCUCAAAUUGUGAUCUUAUGAAUUCGAUUUGGUCACUUUUAAAAUGUAA